AUCAGUUUAGUUAUGGAAGAAAUAACAUAAUUCAAGAGCCUCUACGCUCUCAUAUUACUUUGGAUUCAUUGAACAGUGUCAGCUAAAACAGUAUACCUUUAAUGUCAUUGAGGCUAUCUGCCUGCGCAUUGCUCUUGCUCAAGAAGCAGCCCAUCAAAACCUGCGGAGUAGCUGCAGUUUUUCUUUUCUGACCACUGAUAGGGGAAGAGAAGAAGCGACGGCGAUGGUUACGGGAUGAGCAUGAGCGCCGAGAAGAUGAGAGGGUGGACUACGGAAGAGAAAAGAGAGCUUAGUCUUUAGGGUGGGCUCUGGGCAGGGGAAUAGUUUGAAAUAAUCUCAACCAUUCAAUCUCUAAUAUAUAAACAUUCUUUUCCAAUACCCUAUCUUUUAUAGCCGUGCUGUAAGCUCAUAAUACUAGAGUCGCAAUAAAGUCGCAGCCCUACAUCAUCGCAGCAUCAACCCCGCAUGCCACAACUCCAUUGCUGUGUUUUUUUUUUCAAUUUAUUUUUUGAACAUGUAAUGUUGUUCAUACUAAUCUUGGAGGGCCAUAUCAAACACCAUCACUUAAAAGGCAGUAAGUAUUAUAUUGCCUUUAUUGAUGAUUUAACUUGAAUGUGCUGGAUAUAUUUUUUCAGAUUCAAAUCAGAAGUGGCUGGAGUAUUUUCGAGAUUCAAAACAUGGACUGAAAAUCAAAGUAAAUGUAAGAUGAUGAUGUUAAUGACUCGUGGUUGUCGAAACCGAUUAAAAAUAACAUUUCCGGUUAUCAACAAUAUUAAUACUGCAGAUAGUGGUAAAGGAUCGAAUCCACAGAGAAUUGAUAACUUAUCUAUUUUCCUCAACAAGACCAAGAGUAUUAACUGAAAGUGCAACUGAAAGCAAGUAACUUAAAACGGAACAAAAAUAAAGUGUAAUAAAAAUAAAAAGGGAGGGCUUGAGAUUGAUUUGAUUAGCAAACUACUGAAAGCAAUUAAAUGAGCAAGUAAUUAAAAUAAAAGAAAAAUCUAAUAUGAGAAAAGUCUAGUUGAAGAGAUGGAUCCACUUUGGUUGUUUGGAUUGAUCAUUGAAACUUACGUUCUCUUGAUUGUUUCAAUAGAUUAGUUAUAGAGAUGGAAAACGCUUCUCACCACCAUGUCUCUCCUUAUGAUUAAAUCAAUUAGGGAACGUCCUCUAAUGAAUUACUAAUUAACAAAUUGCCAAUGAACGUCCUUGGGCCUUAGGCAUCAAAAUAGAGAGAUCCAAUCCUAGCUACUCAAACGCAUGAGAUGUUGCUAGAUCAUACAAUUCCUUAGUUGUUACACCAAGUGUUCUUAUGUUUGAAUAAUUCCAGCAAUUACGGACUAAAAAUUAUCCCAACUAGCAAUCAAUUACCUUGCAAUCAAGAACCAAGUGGCCAAUUUGAUCAAAACAACAAAGUAACAAUGGAUUCAAGCACCAAAUUAUAUGAAUAUUGAACAAACCAAAGACAAAUAGUUUAUGUUCAGAUCUCACAAUCCAUAAAACAACCUCAGUUUCAACCAAUCUUUAACUAGAAUUAAAGGUUUCAACCACUCAUGACUGAAACAAAACAGAAAAUAAAAGGAAAGAACUAGAGAAGAUGAACCGAAUUAGUGGAGAAGCUUGCUCCUAGCCUUGGCCGAAUGGGAGAGAUGGAAGGGGAUGAAUGGAUUCUGUCGUGGCUGGCCUUUUAGGAGUCUUUAAAUAUGUUUCAAGAUGCUGAUCUAGGGUUUCUUGGCUGUCCAUGAGUUUUUAAGAGGCUGCCCAAAUUGCCCUUGACUUUUACUUGCACUUUACCUUGCCGCCCAUGCACAUGUGUGAGGGUGUGGCGUGUGGCUUGUUUUCAAUUGCAAGGAGUGGGUCUUUUGGUCUUUGCUUGCUGCCCUAGUGUCUUCAAGAUGCUGCCCAAAGUGCCCAAAACUUGCCUUCACACCAUUCUUGCCGCCCAUGCACAGAUAAGGAAGGUGGAGCCUUCCUUUGCAAUUUAAAUUUUGAAUGUGCAAAGCAUGUGUGGCAUAUGUGACUUCUUUGGCUUCUUUGGUAACCUGAAUCUUGAAAUUCAAAAUUUAAAUAUAAAUCUUGAAUAUUUGAAUUUCAAAAUACUUUCCUUAUUUAACUCUUCUUUCAUGGCAACUUGAGACUUGGCUUCUUGAAUAAGGAAAAGGCUACUUAGAGAUUUGAAAUUUGAAUUUCAAAUUGCUUUAGCUGAAUGUUCUUUCCUUCUUUGCCACUUUUCUUAUUUAGAACUUUCCUUAUUUAGCUUCACUUAAUUUCAACUUGGCAGGCUUGCUUCCUUUUGCUCCAUUUAAGGCAGUUUUAAGGGUAUUUUCUCCAAAAUGUCCUUUUUCACUAAUUUCUGCAAAAUAAUAUCAAAAGCACUAAAUUAAGCAGAAAUCAUGUAAAUAAUCGUCAAUAAUAUCAAGACAAAAUGGACUAAAAUAUGCUCUAUCAAAUACCCCCACACUUAGCCUUUUGCUUGUCCUCAAGCAAAUAAACAUAGUCAAACAAGCUUUCUUUGCUACUUGAUCCUUAUUUCCACUUAACCUCUUACUCUAGACACCUAUUUUGAAUCAUUGCAGUGAAGAAUAUAUGCAUCAAGGUUACUCACCUUCUUUCCUUGUUUCCCUUUGCUUACCAUGGCUAGGAUUUGUUUUCCUCAAGAGAGAGAUCAUACAUGCACAUAUUAUUUGUUCAGAUAAGACUUUUUCUAGCUUUCAGAGUGACUUGCCCUUACCUUGAAGUACUUUAUUCAGCCUUUUUGCACUUUAAUCUUGCUUGAAAAAAUCACCAACCUUUUGAUGCGAAGGUAUAUAUUUUCAGUUGGUCACCUUUCCAAGUGGCUACUAGCUCUGUUCAUAGUUUUUCAACCAUUGGAACAGUUUUUUUUUUGUGCUUUUGAAGUCUAAGCCUUCGUUGAAUUUCUUUCUCUCAAUGAUUUGGGCAAAUCAACACCAAUUGCUAAAGUCAUGUUAAGUUCAUUCACACAAUUUUCAAUUUAUUCUCUCUAAUAAGUGUCAUCAAUAUAUUUUUCACCAUGGCAAGCUCAAAAAUUCAAUUCAAAAGGCAAUUCUCAAACAUGAAUAUAACUCACUGCAAUUGAUUCAAUAUAAGUUUAAAAAGUCAUCACAUCAAUGGGGUCAUAGAAAGAAAAGCUGAUCCAACAUAGUUAAUCAGUUUGAGUAGAGCAAAUCAAAAAGAAGAAGAAGGUUGUGGUUAUGUGUGUGUUAUUGAAAGCAUGAAUGAAAACAAACUAAAGGGAAAACUGUAAGCAAAAAUUUGCAUGAACUGAAAUAAAAUAAAGCAGAAGUCGCAAAUCUUAAAGAAAAAGAAAAAAAUUUCACAGAUCUAAAAUGAAAAAGAAGAAGAAAGAGGAAGAGAAGAAGGAGAGAUAUGCACCCCCACACCUAAAUCAUGCAUUAUCCUCAAUGUGUAAAAAAAACAUAAAAGAACAAAGGAAACUGAGUACUCCCCUGGGGUGUGGUAAGCAUGGUGUGAUUCCUUAGGCAGAAUGAGUGAUGAACAGAUGUUCGUCUGGGAAGUCUUCCUUGACUGGACAAGGUGUAGAGCUAGAUGGAAGCCGGCUGAGGUGGUCGGCUACAAGAUUUUUUUUUCCCUUUCUUGUCUCUUAUCUCCAGAUCAAACUCUUGUAAUAAAAGUAUCCACCUAAUGAGUCUUGGUUUGGUCUCUUUUUUCUUGAUCAGAUAUCGCAAAGCUGCAUGGUCAGAAUAGACGAUGACUUUGGUUCCCAAGAGAUAUGGUCUGAAUUUUUCUAAAGCAAAUACAACAGCUAAGAGCUCCUUUUCUGUUGUUGUGUAGUUGCUUUGUGUAGCAUCCAGUGUGCGAGAGGCAUAGUGAAUGACGUGGGGUGAGUUCCCCACACGUUGUCCCAAGACUGCUCCCACUGCAUAGUUGCUUGCAUCACACAUGAUUUCAAAAGGCAAAUUCCAAUCAGGUGCUUGAAUAAUUGGGGCAGUCACAAACAAUUUCUUUAUCAGAUCAAAUGCUGUUUUGCAACCUGCAUCAAAAUCAAAUGUCACAUCUUGUUGGAGCAAUUUACAUAAAGGCUGAGUGAUUUUUGAGAAGUCCUUUAUGAAUCUCCUGUAGAAUCCUGCAUGACCAAGGAAAGAACGGAUUUUUAAACAUUUGUAGGAUAAGGCAGAUUUUUAAUGGUAUCUACCUUAGCCUUGUCUACUUCAAUUCCUUUAGCUGAAACAACAUGUCCUAAAACCAUACCUUGAUUAACCAUAAAAUGACAUUUUUCAUAAUUAAGUACAAGGUUAGACUCAAGGCAUCUCUGUAGGAUCUUUUCCAAGUUGGCAAGGCAUUCUUCAAAGGAGUUGCCAUGCACUGUGAAGUCAUCCAUGAACACUUCAAUUGUCUUACCCACAUAGUCAGAGAAUAUGCUCAUCAUGCAUCGCUGAAAGGUGGCAGGUGCAUUGCAUAAUCCAAAUGGCAUUCUUCUAAAGGCAAAAGUGCCAAAAGGGCAAGUGAAGGUGGUUUUCUCUUGGUCCUCUGGAGCAACUGGAAUCUGAUAAAAACCUGAAUAACCAUCAAGACAACAGUAAUGGGACUUACCUGCAAGUCUUUCUAGCAUCUGAUCAAUGAAAGGUAGAGGGAAAUGGUCUUUCCUUGUGGCUGCAUUUAGCUUCCUAUAGUCCAUGCACACUCUCCACCCAUUUUGAAUUCUUGUGGGAACAAGUUCUCCUUCAGCAUUUGGGACAAUACUAAUCCCAGUUUUCUUUGGGACUACAUGCACGGGACUCACCCAUUUGCUAUCAGAGAUUGGGUAGAUAAUACCUGUAUCAAGGAGCUUAACUAUUUCUUUCUUCACUACCUCCAUCAUAGGUGGAUUCAAUCUUCUUUGAGCAUCUCUGACUGGCUUGCAUUCCUCUUCUAUGUAUAUUCUAUGCAUGCAUGUGGAAGGAGAAAUGCCUUUUAUGUCAUCAAUGAUCCAUCCUAUGGCUCCUUUGUGUUUCUGCAGUACUUUCAAGAGGCUUGCUUCUUCAUGUUGGCUCAAUUCAUUGGACACUAUUACUGGUAGUGUCUUGUCAGCUCCCAAGUACAUGUAUUUCAGAUGGCCUGGAAGAGGCUUUAGAUCUGAUUUUAAUGCUUUCUGACUUGUUUUCUGCGUUGGAUAUGUUUUAGCUCUACCUUGCGCAAGGCUUGACUGCAAAGGGGGACUGGAAGAGCUCGCUUGCGUUGGCGACUGAGGAGGUGCGAUCGGAAGCUGAAAGGGUGUGUUGGUGGUGGAGUCAGUCUGCGCAAGGCCUUUCUGAGGUGGUGCGACAGAGUUUUCUUCAAUCUGUGCUUGACUGCAAUUUACCGGUUGGAUGCUACAGACUGUCUCUUUCAAUUUUGGCUCUUUCUGGCUCUCAUUCCUGCAAAGAUCAUCAUUCAGAAUACAAUCUUGAUUCUCAUCAAAUAUUUCUUGGCUCAAGCAGUCAAUAAUAUCAAGACCAUAAACAGAGGACAUAUCAUGUGGAUAUUUCAUAGCAUCAUAGACAUUAAAUUUAAUGACUUCCCCUUCAAACUCCAUAGUCAAUGUACCAUCAUGCACAUCAAUCUUAGUCCUAGCAGUACUCAAGAAAGGACGUCCAAGAAGGAUAUCAGAACUAGUAUUGUAACUUUCUUCCUUAGUAUCAAUCACAUAAAAAUCUGCAGGAAAGACAAGUUCAUCUACUUGAACUAACACAUCUUCUAGAACACCUAUGGGAUAUACCACAGAUAUAUCAGCUAGUUGAAUCACAACUUUUGUGUCUUUCAGUGCACACGCAUUCAAAGAAUUAUAAAUGGAAAGAGGCAUAACAUUUAUGGAUGCACCAAGAUUACACAUAGCUUUCUUAAUUCCUACAUUCCCUAUAUUGCAGGAAAUAGCAAACAUACUUUUAUCCUUGCAUUUAGUAGGGAGCUCUCUCUUAAUAACAGCCGUAACAACUUCACCUACACUUACUUUCUCUCUUUUAGCUAGCUUUCUUCUAUUGGUACACAGUUCUUUCAGAAAUUUUGCGUACCUGGGAAUCUACUUAACAGCAUUUAACAGAGGUAUGUUGAUUUCCACUUUUCUGAAAGUCUCAAGGAUAUCCUUUUCUUCCUUUUCUUUUUGUGUUCUUUCAAAUCUUUUUGGAAAAGGAGGUGGAAUGCAAAAGCUUACUUUUUUAUCAGUCUUCCACGCAGGUGGUGUUUCAGAUUGCGCUGGAGAGGCUUCAGGUUGCAUUGGUUCUUGUGCAAAUGGUGUUUCAGAUUGCGCAGGUGGUGCUCUUCCAUUAGUAUUGACCUCUUGUAGCUCCUUCCCACUUCUCAAAGUAAUGGCACUGACAUUCUGUCUGGGGUUAGUUUCAGUUUGAAAAGGAAGCUUACCUUGGGAUUCAACUUUGCUCAUGAAUGCGGUUACUUGUCCCAUCUGUUGUUGGAGAGUCUGCACAGAGCUUGUAAGUGUCUCCAUCAUCUUUUCGAGGUGUUGAUUUGAACUUGAAGGUGCUGGUUGGGCUUGAUUCCUGUAGUAGUUUUGAUAGUUCUGAUUAUUGUUAGCCCUUUCGUAGCUGAAAUUGGGAUGGUCUCUCCAGCCUGGAUUAUAUGUGUUGGAAUAUGGAUUAUGUCUAGGCUAGUUGUUAUAUCCUCCAAUGGCAUUAACUUGCUGGUUGUCUUCUUGAAGAGUAGGACACUGAUCAGUUGGAUGUCCUACAUAUGCACAAAUCCCACAUGGCCUAGGUGGCUGGGAUGCUUGAACCUGUUGAACUAGUCCAAUGGCAAAGUCUUUCAUAAAAGAUGUCAGUUCAGAGAUAGAAGGUGAACUUACCUCAUUGACUCUUCUCUGCAGUUGUUUUUCUUCUCCAUAUUGCCUAGAUGAGGCUGCAAGUGUUGAGAUCAACUCUCUCAUCUCCCUAGGUGUCUUGUCUGCAAUGGAUCCUCCACAGGCUACAUCAAUGAAUCUUCUUUCUGAAGAAAGCAGUCCUACAUAGAAGAAUUCUAUGAGUGCCUUAUAUGAAAUAUCAUGUUGAGGACAACCUGUACACAAACUUUUAAACCUUUCCCAAUAAUCAUAAAAGUCCUCAGAUAGUUUCUAUCUAAUGCUACUGAUUUCUCUUCUUAUACCAAUAGCUUUAUGAGUUGGGAAAUAUUUAUUCAAGAAGGUUAUUACCAUGUCAUCUCAAGAAGUAAUAGAUCCAGGAGGUAAGUAAAACAGCCAAUCCUUAGCAUAAUCAUCAAGUGAAAAAGGAAAAACUCUUAACUUAACAUGAUCUUCAGAAAUAUCUUGAGGUCUCAUAGAUGAAUAGACAAUAUUGAACUCUUUCAAGUGUUUGUGUGAAUUUUCAUUUUCUAAUCCUCUAAACUUACGGAGGAGAUGAAUCAAACCUGUUUUCAGUUCAAAGGGAACUGUCAGAGGUGGAUAGGUGAUGCAAAGUGGUGCUUGAUCGCCUAUAGGUGUUGUCAAUUCUCUCAUGGUUCUUUCUCUUGGCAUUGGUGUUCUCAUGGUUGGAUUUUCUUGAAUUAUUUGGUCUUGGACAGCAUGUCCAUUAUGGGCAGCAUGUUGUGCACGAUGUUCAGCCAUUGGUGUGGCUUGAUGGUGCGGUUGGAGUGUUUCAGAUGAAGCUUCUGCGCAGGGCACUCCUUCAGGUGCGAUGGGAGCUUCUUCAAGCGGGACUGCUUGCUUUCCUAGUCUUCUGAGAGUGGUCAUGAAAGAAAAAUAAACAAGUUAGAACAAUUCUCCGGCAACGGUGCCAAUUUUUGACUCGCGGUUGUCGAAACCGGUCAAAAAUAACAUUUUCGGUUAUCAACAAUAUUAAUACUGCAGAUAGUGGUAAAGGAUCGAAUCCACAGAGAAUUGAUAACUUAUCUAUUUUCCUCAACAAGACCAAGAGUAUUAACUCAAAGUGCAACUGAAAGCAAGUAACUGAAAGCGGAACAAACAUAAAGUGCAAUAAAAGUAAAAAGGUGGGGGUUUGAGAUUGAUUUGAUUAGCAAACUACUGAAAGCAAUUAAAUGAGCAAGUAAUUAAAAUAAAAGAGAAAUCUAAUAUGAGAAAAAUCUAGUUAAAGAGAUGGAUCCACUUUGGUUGUUUGGAUUGAUCAUUGAAACUUAUGUUCUCUUGAUUGUUUCAAUAGAUUAGUUAUGGAGAUGGAAAACGCUUCUCACCACCAUGUCUCUACUUAUGAUUAAAUCAAUUACUAAUUAACAAAUUGCUAAGGAAUGUCAUUGGGCCUUAGGCAUCAAAACAAUUGUCAAUUGCAUGAAAAAAUAGAGAGAUCCAAUCCUAGCUACUCAAACGCAUGAGAUGUUGCUAGAUCAUACAAUUCUUUAGUUGUUAUACCAAGUGUUCUUAUGUUUGAAUAAUUCCAGCAAUUACGGACUAAAAAUUAUCCAAACUAACAAUCAAUUACCUUGCAAUCAAGAAUCAAGUGACCAAUUUGAUCAAAACAACAAAGUAACAAUGGAUUCAAGCACCAAAUUGUAUGAAUAUUGAACAAACCAAAGACAAAUAGUUUAUGUUCAGAUCUCACAAUCCAUAAAACAACCUUAGUUUCAAUCAAUCUUCAACUAGAAUUAAAGGUUUCAGCCACUCAUGGCUGAAACAAAACAGAAAAUAAAAGGAAAGAACUAGAGAAGAUGAACCGAAUUGGUGGAGAAGCUUGCUCCUAGCCUUGGCCGAAUGGGAGAGAUGGAAGGGGAUGAAUGGAUUCUGCCGUGGCUGGCCUUUUAGGAAUCUUUAAAUAUGUUUCAAGAUGCUGACCUAGGGUUUCUUGGCUGUCCAUGAGUUUUUUAAGAGGCUGCCCAAAUUGCCCUUGACUUUUGCUUGCACUUUACCUUGCCGCCCAUGCACAUGUGUGAGGGUGUGGCGUGUGGCUUGUUUUCAAUUGCAAGGAGUAGAACUUUUGGUCUUUGCUUGCUGCCCUUGUGUCUUCAAGAUGCUGCCCAAGGUGCCCAAGACUUGCCUUCACACCAUUCUUGCCGCCCAUUUAUAAAUAAAGAAGGUGGAGCCUUCCUUUGCAAUUUGAAUUUUGAAUGUGCAAAGUAUGUGUGGCAUGUGUGACUUCUUUGGCUUCUUUGGUAAGCUGAAUCUUGAAAUUCAAAAUUUGAAUAUAAAUCUUGAAGAUUUGAAUUUCAAAAUACUUUCCUUAUUUGGCUCUUCUUUCAUGGCAACUUGAGACUUGGCUUCUUGAAAGAGGAAAAGGCUACUUGGAGAUUUGAAAUUUGAAUUUCAAAUUGCUUUAGCUGAAUGUUUUUUCCUUCUUUGCCACUUUUCUUAUUUAGAACUUUCCUUAUUUAGAACUUUCCUUAUUUAGCUUCACUUGAUUUCAACUUGGCGGGCUUGCUCCCUUUUGCUCCAUUUAAGGCAGUUUUAAGGGUAUUUUCUUCAGAAUGUCCUUUUUCACUAAUAUUUGCAAAAUAAUAUCAGAAGCACUAAAUUAAGCAGAAAUCAUGUAAAUAAUCAUCAAUAAUAUCAAGACAAAAUGGACUAAGAUCUCAUAAUAGAAAAGAGUAUACCUCAUAUCAGUUCAAUAAAUUUUGUGAAGAGGCAGGGAUCGAGCAUCAAUUGACUACUCCAUAUACUCCUUAGCAAAAUGGAGUAAGUGAGCGAAAAAAUAGAACUAUAAUGGAGAUGACUCGUUGCUUGUUGUAUGAGAAAAACCUUUCUAAAAAGUUUUGGGCAGAAGCAGCCAAUACUGCAGUUUUUUUAUUGAAUAGAUUGCCUACUAAAGCUCUCCAGAAGCAUACUCCUUACGAAGCAUGGUAUGGUCACAAACCCUCUCUCACAAAUCUGAAAGUGUUUGGAUGUUUUUGUUUCUCUUAUAUUUCUCAAGUUAAAAGAGAUAAAUUGGACAAGAAAUCUGAGCCUAGAAUUUUCAUAGACUAUAGCAGUGUCUCAAAGGCCUAUAGAAUAUUUCAGCCACAAAAUGAGAAUAUCAUAAUAAGUAGAGAUGUUUUUAUGGAGGAGGACCAAUGGAAUUGGAGUGCAUGUGAUGAUAUUCAACAUUUGAGUAUGCAGCAGCCCACUGUGGAGGAUGUUGAUGAACAACCAGUUCGUGGUACACAGUUGCUAUCUGAAAUCUAUGCAAGAUGCAAUGAAGCAUUAUUAGAGCCGACAAGUGUUGCUGAAGCAAUGAUGGAGCAAAAAUGGAAGCUUGCCAUGGAAGUAGAGAUGCAAAUGAUUGAAAAAAAAUAAAACCUGGAAGCUUGUUGAGAGACCUCAAAACAAGAAAAUUAUGGGGUGAAAUGGGUUUUCCGAACAAAGCUUAAUGCUAAUGGAUCAAUAAAUAAGCAUAAGGCAAGGCUCGUUGUGAAGGGCUAUGCACAAGUCUUUGGUGUGGACUUCUCGAAGACUUUUGCUCCUGUUGAAAGGCUUGAUACUAUAAGAUUAUUGUUGGCUAUGGUAGCUCAAAAAGGCUGGAAGGUGUUUCAGUUAGAUGUCAAGUCUGCGUUUUUGAAUGGUCCUUUGGAGGAAGAAAUUUAUGUCGAGCAGCCAGAAGGUUUUGUUGUGCAAGGGCAUGAAGAUAAAGUGUAUUUGCUUAAAAAGGCAUUGUAUGGCCUUAAGCAAGCACCAAGGGCUUGGUACAAUCGUAUGAAUAAUCACUUGCUAAGCUUAGACUUUGUGAAAAGUCUUAGUGAAUCAACUUUAUAUAUAAAGAAAAAUGGUGCUGAUUUGACCAUUGUUUCUAUUUAUGUUGAUGAUCUUCUUGUUACAAGAAGCAAACAGGAGCUUAUUGACUGUUUUAAGGCUGAAAUGUUCAAAGAAUUCAAAAUGACCGACUUUGGAUUGAUGUCUUAUUUUCUUGGUUUGGAAGUAAGACAAAGGAAGAAUGAGAUCUUCAUCAAUCAAACCAAAUAUGCAAAAGAGAUCCUAAAGAAGUUUCAUAUGGAAGGGUGUAAGCCAAUUGACACUCCUAUGCAGCCUAGAGUAAAAUUCUAUAAAGAUGAUGGUGCUGUCAAAGUGAAUGAAAAUCAUUAUAGAAGUUUACUUAGUUGUCUCAUGUACCUCAUUGCCUCCAGACCUGAUAUAACACAUGUUGUUAGCCUCCUCUCUAGAUUUAUGCAUUGUGCUAGUGAGGAACAUUUACAAGCUGCAAAACGUGUUGUGAGAUACAUAAAGGGAACAAUUGAUUUUGGAGUAAAAUAUGCUUGCUAUCAAAAUUUCAAGUUGGUUUUUCUGACAGUGAUUGGGCAGGUUUAAUAGAUGAUAUGAAAAGUACUACAGGUUUCUGCUUUAAUUUUGGAUCAGGUGUGAUCAAUUGGUAUUCCAGAAAGCAAGAAAUCAUUGCUCAAAGCACUGCAGAGGCUGAAUUUGUUGCUGCAACUGCUGCAGCAAACUAUGCUUUGUGGCUCAGGAAAAUUCUCAAAGAUUUGAAUGAAGAACAGUUAGAGCUAACGCCAAUCUUUGUUGAUAAUCAGGCAGCCAUAUCAAUCUCAUCUAAUUCAGUAUUUCAUGGGAAAACAAAGCAUUUUAAGAUUAAGUUCUACUUUCUGAGGGAAAUUCAAAAAGAAGGAGAAGUGUUGUUAGUUUAUUGUAGAAUUGAGGACCAGGUCACUGAUGGUUUUACUAAAGCUUUGCCUAAAGCUAAAUUUGAAGAUUCAAGAAAUAAAAUGGGAGUUUGCAGCAUCAAAGACAAAGAGGAGUGUUAGAAAUUGUCUUAGAUACUACUGAUUUGCUAAAGUUGUUAAACGUGCUGUGUAGUUCCUAUUUUUCUGUUUAGAUGGUUUGUUAAAUGACUUGGUUUACAAUCUGUAACCAAGUUGUAGGAAAUUUGUUAUUUAUUUUUUCUGUUAAGCAUGUUUGUUUCUAUGUUUUGAUUAUGGGUAGAAUUAUGGGCCAUGAUCUUUUAUCAAUUAUUUUUGUUUUAUAUUUAAAACAGUAUUUUCUUUCAAUGAAUUGUGUUGUGUGGGGUUCAGUUCUGUCCAUUUCUGUUUUUGUUAGUUUUUGCUAACAAGGACCAAAACCUUAGUAGAUGGUGCAAAGGGCAUAGGUGGUUAAAUUAACAGAGAUUGCAGAUACAUAAACCUACCACCAUGUGCUGCCCUUGCCCUUAUUGGCUCCAUACAAGCGGAAGAGGCUGAAAGCUGAGAUACAAGACAGUGCCACCAUGCUAACACUUACCAACAGUGAACUUGCUGUUCCCUCCCCAACUUGGUUGCAGAAUUUUCCAUACAUAUUGCAUACCUUCAUCCAUUGUAGUUCUGGUUGUCCUAACUUCGCAAAUACUGAAGACUGUGCAGCAGCUGCAACUGCUGCUACUGUUACGUAUGCCAUCACCUGCACAAAUGGCUUAAUGAGUAAGAAUUAGGUGGCCUUAUGUUUCAAAAAUUAGUCCAGAAAAUAUUUUUCAAAAAUUUUAGUUGCAAUGUGGAAAAAUAAAUGCAGGUAACAAAUUUAUAGUAAUAAGAUUUUAGAAGUCCAAAAAAUUGAUUUUUUUUAAAAAAAGAGCAAGUCAUUUUCUUUAAAAAUUAUUAACUAAUUUUUCUGAAUGCUUUAAAUGUCAAAAAAUGGGAAAAAAAUAUGUAUAUAUAUUUAUAUUUUUUUCUCAAAAGUAUUUUACAGCAUUUAGUACUUCAACAUUAUGGAGCCUUUCCAAGCCUCUAGCUCAGAUUUAUCAUAAACCUUUUAAAGGAAAAGAAUGCUGAAAUGAAUCAUUUGUAUCAUAAAUAAUAGAUCCCACUACUAGACUACUACUCUCUCUAUAAACAGAAUCCUUGAACUUUUUCACUACAUAACAUUGAUUCCACUACUAGACAACUAACUUCUCCAUUUCUGAGUUAACAACAAGCACUACAGAUUCAUCUUUGCCUUUUCUUUUUCUUUCUUUUUCUACUGCAAAAAGCAUACAAGUUAUACUCGCUCCAUAAUUUGAUCACUGUGUUUAAACUGAAAGGAGUCGGACAGGAUCUGGAUGACAUUCAUCACUAAUAAAAAAAAAAUUUGAAAAUGGAAAGAUACUAUAAUGUAUUAUGAAGAAGGCUGUUCAAAAUGAUUCCUUUUACAAGACUGAUUUACUUCAAGAUCUUAAGUUGAAAUCUAAAAGAAGAAUGUGAGACAGAAGAGAAUAAAAGAGUUGAGGCUAAAAGUACAACUACUCCAGCAAGUUAACCGGGCUUUAGCCAAUUCAACAGUUCUGUGGUUGACAAAAUAUACAAGGCGUACAACCAUAGUUGUAAAAUUGAGAAUUGAAAUUUUCAUUUUGUGAAUCUUGAAUCAAGAAUCGAAUCUUACGAUUCAGAAAAACAUAUUUAAAAAUUAAUUAAAAAUAAUAUAUGUUCUAAAAAUAAGAAUAAAAAUUAUCAUAAUCACAUAUUUUAAUAAAUAUAGAAUUAUUAUUUAUAAUAAUAUAUUUUUAUUAUAUUAUAUAGUUUUAUAUUAUAAAUUAGAAGCUCUUAAAUUAUAAAUAAUGAUUAUCAUUAUGUAUAUACUGAAACUCUCACUUAAAUUUAUCAAAUAAUUAAAUAAUAAAAAAGUUAAUAUGUUACAUUGAAACAUUACAAUAUAUUAAUAUAAGAGAGAAAGGGAAAGGGAAAAAAUGGGUGAUGGAAGAAAAAUAGAUUAGCAAAAAGUUUAUGUGCACUUUUUAUAGCAAAAAUAAAUGAAUUAUGAAACUAAUACCCUUUCAAAAUAUAAUCCCUUGAAUUGAAUAAAAAUUUGGUCUUUUCAUAACGAUUCACUUGAUUCAUUAUCAAUUCUUUCAAUUUAGUCUCAAUUUAGGUAUGGUUUGCGUCAUAGAUGCGAAUCGCUUGAAUGUGAAAUAGAAUUGAGAAUCAUAAUAUUUGAAUCAAGAAUCAUAAGAUCAAUUAUAUUUAAGAUUCGCCAUAUAAAUUCAAAUCGAUGUGGUAGAAAAUAAAUUUGAAUCAUAAGAUUCGAAUUGAGAAUAGUGGGUAUACAGAUUAAACCAUUUGUCAUUAACAUAUAUAAGGUGUAGAGAAGAGGACACCUAGUUCAUUAAUAUAAAUCAUCAUGUUACAUUUAAGAUUGAGAAGCAGCUAAUAAUUCCAUCAGAAAGUAGGUCCAGCAAUUUAGUUACAAGGGAGACUGAGUGGGUGAUGUUUUGGAUACUUGUUCAAUUAUUGUUGAAGCAGGAUCAGACUUGAAGUUGAGGAUGCAAGCAAAUUAUCUCCAACGACAAGAUAAGAUAAAAGAAAACCACGAGUAUGGACCAAAUCGCACUACAACUGAGCUGCAAGGUGUCUAGAUCAUAUAUCUAAUAUUUGUGUUUGUGGAAGUAUUUUCAUAUCUUUAUAAGAAUUUAGUAUUUUAAUCCGUAUUAGCCAAAGAUUGUAGCUAGAGUUCGAGUAAAAGGAGAUUUCGUGUGAAAAGAAGGAUUUUGCAAAAAUUUUAUAAAUAUCUAAAAAUCAAUGUGUAAAGAGGGUUUGGUCUUCACCUUGAAGAAACUUUUAGGGGAACGAAAGAAUGUAGGUGGGAAAGGGCUAAACCUCUAAACUUCUAUUUGCAAUAUUUUCUAACAAUACUGUCUAUUUUUAUUGAACUUGUGCAUGCGUUGCUUAUACUGUGGUCGCUGAGUAUUAAUAGGAAAUUAUCUUUAGAAGAUCUUAUUAUAUCUGUGUCAAAUUUUUCAGAAACAUAAUUUACUCCCUUCUUGGGUUACCUUCGAGCCUUGUAACUGCCAUGAUAAAUGUUUCUAGUCCCAUGGAUACCAACUAUUAAAACCUGUACAAAGCUGCACUAAUCUCAAAAUCAAUAUGAUGGUGAGAAUAAGAUAAAAGUCACAAUGAGAGAAGAUCAUUCCACAAACAAGCCAAACCACCAUCCGAAUUAGAAUCCCUUAUGACAAAUAUAUUCUUAUACCCAAACAUAUACUUAGUACACCUCAUCCUCUCUUAGCCAACUUAAAUUUCCAUGAGAGAGAAUAUCAGAAACUUGAGGCAAAUACAAAUGCCGAAGCUUAGCAACAAAUCAAUAGUAUUCUCAGUUGAGAAAAUUGAAGAGAGAUAAGAGCAUAGUAAGACUUGAUAAUAGUAUCAACAUAUGGGAAACAGGAACAAAUAGUUGAAUAUAUUAAUCGCAGCCAAGGCUAAGGAGACUUGAUCAUCUUCGUUUGCAGAUCAUUUGCAUCCUUAUAUUAACUUGUUAUGCACUUAAUAUUGUGGCCCAUCCUUAAGGUAAGUGUUGUCACUGUGUAUCCAUAUACUUUCUGAUUUCAUAUUCCCUUGUAAGACUUCAACAAUCUGUAUCAAGUAGCAAUAUUAGUUAACAACUAGGGAUGACAUGGAUGAUAAUUAACUUAAACAAAUUAUUUUUUUCAAAUUUCUGUGAUUUUUUAAAUAUUAAUAAUUUUGCAUCAACUUGCAAAUUAUGUAUAAUUGUUUCCGUAUAUAUGAAUCCUGUAAUUUAAAAAAUAGUAAUAAUAUAUUUAGCCAAUACUUAAAAAAUAAUUAAAGGUAGGUCUAUUGAUUUUAUCAUACCUGACUUAAUUUUGGACGAGUUUUCGCAGGUUUGUAUACACAAGCUGCAGCACAAUGAAUCAUUUGAAUCAUUUCAAUUAUUUCACAAUUGUUCUGCAAUUUGACAUCAAUAAUACUGUUGUAAUUAUGUGUAUUAAAAGCUUCUGCGAGUUGAGGUGCCACCUGAAAUUUUAAGAUAAAAAGUAUUAGCGAUAAUUAUAUAUCUCUUAUCAUAGAAAUAUAUAAUUUUAUUCAAACGUUAAUAUAAAAAUAAUUAAAACAAUACUAACAUAACAAAAAAUUUCAUGCUUGUUUACAUGUUUAAUUUCAAAAUAAAUCAAUUACAACAUUAAAAUGGCAGAACUAAUUUUGUUUUGAAAAAAAAAAAGAUAACAUAAAAAUUAUAUUACUCUUAAAUUAACAACACUGUAAUGCUAAUAUUCUAUCCAAUCAAACAUAUUUCUAUUCGGUAUACAAGAAUCUAAACUUAAUGUGUAUAUUUCAUCUUAGUUUUGCUUAUCUUGAGGCCCUUACUCUUGAGAAUCCUUAUCCAUAACUCCAAAAUUAACUCAUUGAUUAAAUUUAUCCACUGAGACAACAAAAUUAUAAAUAAUAUACAUCAUGGAACAUCAUAUUUAAAAUGUCUAACCAUAACUAAAAUUAUUAUAUCGAGACUUAAAGUUGAUCUCUAAGGUAAACCUAACAUUAUUCUCUCGUACAUGUCCUUAGUAAUUGUUAUAGAUUAUAGGAAGUAAAUAUUCUAAUAUAGGAAAUAAAUAUUAAUAAAUGUAUUAGUUGCUUAAUCUUAGGAAUUUCAUAAACAUAAGUUUGAUUUUCUUUCCUUUCUAGAUAUGAUUUCUCAUGUAUAAAUAUGUUGUAAUCUUUAUUGUAAGAAGAAUAACAAAUAUUACCUUUCUACAUUGUAUCAGAGCCUCUCAUGUGAGAUUUGAAUUUUUUUUCCUGUUCUAUUUGGAGACUCGGGACUCCUGUUCUUUUAGGUUAUCUAUAGAGGGUAACAUUUAUCUCUCACCGCUCACCCAGGAAAGACGCGGGAGCGCUGGCGAAGCGUCCCUAAAGAGCCGACGGUUGUCCGGCCAGCGAGUGAGUUUCACACACCGCGGUAAGAUUUCUGACGGUCCCACUCAUCAGCACGUGGAGGUGCGUCGCAUGUCCGUUGCUACUCUGGUCACCCUCACCGGAGUCGCCUCGAAGCCCCCUCAGUAGUUCUGCAGUCUGUUUGCCGAUUAGGUAUUGAGUAUAGGUGUUUUUAGGUUUGGAUCGCAUUCUGGCACUAUUCACCUCCAUUCUCUGGUACUGUUCACGCCUUAUUUCUUAUGAUUGCCAUUAUUUUGGUUGGUUGUUCUUAUGGCUGUAAUUAAAAACACCGUAGCUAAGGUAAUUUUGGUGAUGACUAAAAUCACGGAAUACAAAUUAAAUAGAUCUAAUUUUAUGGAUUGGAGUAAAACUAUCCGUAUUUAUUUAUAAAGUAUUAGAAUGGAUGAUCAUCUUACCAAGAAUCCUCCAAUUGAUGAAACUAAGAAAGAUAGGAUAAGGGAUGGUACUCGAUAAUUUUUGCAGAUCCAAAAUUCUAUUCAUAGUAAGGUAAUCAGCCUCAUUAAUUAGUAUGAAUUUGUUAAAGAAUUAAUGGAUUAUUUGGAUUUUUUAUAUUCUGACAAAGAGAAUAUUUCUCGUAUUUAUGAUAUGUGUAAGGCAUUUUAUCAAGCUGAGAAAUAUGAUAGAACUCUGACCUUCUAUUUUAUGAAUUUUAAAAGAGUGUAUGAGAAACUUAAUGUCUUGAUGCCUUUCAGUACAAAUGUGAAAACUUAACAAGCUCAACGAGAGCAAAUGGCUGUUAUGAGCUUCAUUGCAGGUCUUCCUCCAAAGUUUGAGAUAGUUAAAUCUCAAAUUAUUUCUUACUCUAAAAUAUCAUUGUUACAUGAUAUUUUCACUAGAGUGUUGCAUACAAAGUCUCCAAUUCCUUCACACACCACUAGUACUUUUGUUAGUCACAAUGACAGUGGAAGAUAAAAUAACAGAGGUAGGUACAAGGGAGAUUUUAACGGUGGUAGGGGAUCUGAGCGUCCUUGGAAAGCAAUUCCUACUUCUGACUCCGGUGGAAUCAUUUGUUAUUACUGCCGUGAACCUGGACAUACUAAGAAGACAUGCCUGAAACUUCAAAAUAAGAAUCAGCGCUUACAAAUGGUGCAUAUAGUAGUUGAGGCCUCUUCUGAUCAAGAAAUUUUGAUAUCUGCAGAUGAGUAUGCACAAUUCACUCAAUACUAGGCACCUCUGAAAUCCUCCAACUCUUUUAUCACUGCAAUUACUAAGUCAGGUAACUCUACUACAUGUCUUGUAUCUUCAUCCUCCAAAUGGAUUAUUGAUUCUGGCACUACCGAUCUUUUGUCAGGUAAUUCUACACUUUUGUCCAAUCUUAAGUCUCAUGCAUCAUCUUCUUAUGUUACUUCUUAUGUUACUCUUGUUGAUAGCACUAAAUCUUCUAUCAUGAGUUCUGGACAUGUCAACUUAACCCUUUCUCUUUAUGUAUCCUCUGUGUUAUGUCUUUCUAAGUUCUCCUUUAAUUUGCUUUCCGUUAGUAAACUUACUCGUGCACUGAAUUAUUGUGUCUCAUUCUUUCCUGAUCAUUGUGUUUUUCAGGAUCUUUCAACAAAGCAGAUUAUUAAUAGAGGGCGUGAAUCAGAUGGUCUUUACUUCCUGGAUCAAUAACUACCUAGAUCUCUUGCAUGUUCCACGAGUGUAACGUCUUUUGAUGUUCAUUGUCAUUUGGGUCACCCUUCUCUCUCAGCUUUGAAGAAGUUAUGUCUAUAGCUUCACUCCUUGUCUGUUUUAGAUUGUGAGUCUUAUCAUUUGCCAAAUGUCACCGUUUACCUAUAGCGUCUCGAGUCAAUAAACGGGCUUCAUUCUCUUUUGAGUUAGUACAUUCAGAUGUUUGGAGUUCUUGUCCUAUUGUGUUUAAGUCUAGCUUUAAGUACUUUAUUACUUUUGUUGAUGAUUUCUCUCGCACUACUUGGUUAUUUCUAACGAAGAGUCGUUCAGAAUUAUUCUCUAUCUUUUGUGCUUUGUAUGCUAAAUUCCAAACUCAAUUAAAUAUUUUCAUUUGAAUAUUGUAAAGUGAUAAUGUUAAAGGGUAUCUUUAUGUGGAAUUUCAAUUUUAUUUGUUACAAAAAGGGAUUCUUAAUUAGUUUUUCUAUGUUGACGCUCCUUCAUAGAAUGGGGUUGCAGAAAGAAAAAAUCAACAUCUUCUUGAAGUAGCUAGAGCCCUCUUAUUCCAAAUGAAAGUACCUAAAUACUUUUAGGCUGAUGCUGUAUCCACUGCUUUUUUUUUAUCAAUCGCAUGUCCUCCUCCGUCCUUCAUGGUGAUAUCGCUUAUAAUAUUUUAUUUUAACUAAAUCAAUAUUUCCUAUUGAGCCACGUAACUUUGAUUGUACUUAUUUUGUUCAUGAUGUUUGUCUACAGGUUACUAAAUUAGAUCUCAAAUCACUUAAAUGUGUCUUUCUUGGCUACUCUCGACUUUAAAAAGGGUAUCGUUAUUUUUUUCCUGAUCUUAAUCUGUACUUUGUGUCUGUUGAUGUAACAUUUUUUGAUUCCACUCUAUUCUUUUGACUAUUAUCUGUUUAUGACACCCAAGGAAAGGAAAAUAACCUCUUGUUAUGCACUGUUCGCUCUCUGACUCCUCAGAUUCUUCCUGCACCUUCCGCUCAUGUGCUUGGUCGCGCUCCCAUUUUUCAUGUUUAUUCUAGAUGCUUAGAGGACUCUGACUCCGCUCCACUACUAGCUUCUUCGUCGACAGACCUUGCUCUCACUGAUCCUUCACCGUCUGAUUUAGAUUUACCCGUUGCUCUUCGCAAAGGUAAAUGUACUUGCACUCAUUCUAUUUCAUCUUUUGUCUCUUAUAGUCAAUUAUCCUCUUCUUCUCAUUGUUUUGCCACUACUUUAGAUUCUAUUUCAGUCCCCAAACUAUUAUUGAGACUUUAUCCCAUCCUGGUUAGCGUGCUGCGAUGGAAGAAGAAAUAAUGGCCCUAGACAUUAAUGGUACUUGGGAGUUGAUAUCCUUGCCCCUAAGGAAAUGGGCUAUUGGGUGUAAAUGGGUGUUUGCAGUGAAAGUAAAGUCUGAUGGAUCUGUUGCUCACCUUAAGGCCCGUUUAAUGGUCAAGGAUUAUGCUCAAACUUAUAGAGUUGACUAUUUUGAUAAUUCUCUCUAGUUGUCAAGCUCGCAUUUGUUCCAUUAUUUAUUUCCUUGGCAGCUACACAUGAUUGGGCUUUGCAUCAACUGGAUAUUAAAAAUAUUUUUCUCCAUGAUGACCUUCAGGAGGAGGUUUAUAUUGAGCAACCACUUGAUUUUAUUGCUCAGGGGAAGUUAGGCAAGGUUUGUAGACUUCGAAAAUCCCUCUAUGGCUUGAAACAGAGAUUUCGGGCAUGAUUUGGCAGGUUUAGUGAGGUAGUCCAACAGUUUGAAAUGAAGAUGAGUAAGUGUGAUCACUUAGUGUUUCAUAGAAAUUCUAAUAAUAGAGUAAUUCUGCUUGUAACAUAUGUGGAUGAUAUUGUUAUCAUAUGCUUUUUUAAGUCGAUGAAUAACAUGUAUAAUUCUUCUUUAUCUUCCGAUAAAUUACCACUAAACUUCUUAAUAAAGAAAUAGAUUUUAUUGUAAAUCUAUCGAAUUUUCCCUACUUUUCCACUAUGUCCUUUUAAGAUACUAGUUAAGUCCAAACAAUGCUUGAACUUGCUCACAAUGAGAGAUUUAGUCAUCAUAUCAAUUGGAUUUUCUACAAUAUCAAUUUUCUUAAUAAAAAAUAUUACCCUUACUGAUAAUAUCACAAACAAAAUAGUAUCUCACAUCAAUGUGCUUCGUCCUCUCUUGAAACAUUUGAUCUUUUGUCAAAUGAAUAGCACUUUAGUUAUCGCAAUGGACGAUAGUCACCUAUUGACUUGUAUUGAGCUCACCAAAUAAACCUCUUAACUAAAGAGCUUCUUUUAUAGCCUCAGCUAUUACCAUGUACUUUGCUUCAAUAGUAGAUAAUGCAAUUAUAGGCUGUAAAGUAGUUUUUCAGCUAAUAACAGUAUUGCCAAGAGUAAACACAGCCUGUAAUGGAUAUUAUUUUAUCCAUAUCACCUGCAUAAUCUGAAUUAACAUAACCGACAACAUUGUUCUUACUCCUUUCAAAGUGUAAAGAAUAAUUAAUAUUGCCUUACAAAUAUCUCAAAAUCCACUUCAUGCUUGCUAAUUUUCUUUUCAAAAUUAGAUAUGAAUCUACCAACCACACUAAUUGCAUGUGAAAUAUCAGGACAAGUACAGAUUGUAGCAUAUAUAACACUACCAACAGCAUUGAGGUAAGAAACAUUUGAUAUUUAUUCAAUAUCUUUUUCUGGCUGAGGUGAUAAAGCAGCUGAUAAUCUAAAAUGACCACCAAGUGGAGUACUUAUAAGUUUCACAUUUUUCAUACCAAAAUGCUCUAAGACAUUCUUAAUAUAACUCUUCUAAAUUAGACAUAAUAUACCCAUAGUUCUAUUUCUUUGAAGCUGCAUACCUAAAAUUUUUGUUGUUGCUCCUAAAUCCUUCGUCUCAAAUUCACCACUCAACUCAUUCUUUAAUUUAUUGAUCUUAGACAUAUUCUUGGCAGCAAUGAGAAUAUCAUCAAUAUAAAACAAUAAAUAAAUGAAUGAACCAUCAAUAAAUUUUUUGAAAUACACACAACUAUCAAAUUGGCUCCUCGAAUAGUCAUAUUAAACCAUAAAGAGUCAAAUCAUUUAUACCACAAUCGAAAAGAUUGUUUCAAAUUAUACAAUGACUUCUUCAGCAGUCAAAUAUGGUCUUCUUUCCCUUCAACUUCAAAACCCUCAAGUAACAUUUAAAUCGUCUCUUUCAGGUCACCAAUCCAGUUGCCCUAGCUCUAAAUUACAUAUGGCAACUAAUGCAAGCAAGACAUAGAUAAAGCUAUGUCUAAUAACAUGUGAGAAAAUAUCAUUAAAUUCAAUCUCGCAAACCUAACUAUAGUCCUUUGCUAUCAAUCGUGCUUUGUAUCUAGCAUCUUCAAUACUUGAAAUUCCCUCUUUCUUCUUAAAGGCACAUUUGCAUCCAACAAUUUUCUUAUCUUUUAGUAGUUUGGCCAAUUCCAAAAUCCUGUUCUUGUAGAGAGAUUUCAUCUCCCAUUUCAUGGCAACUAACCAUCUAGCUUAAUCAUCACAAGAGAUUGAAUAUGAGCAUGUGAAAGAUUCACCACUAGCUUCCAUUUCUUAUGUCAUUGACAUUACAAGAGAAACAUAAUUUGUAUGAAGCAACUUGCUAGGUAAUUUCCUCUAUCUUUUGGGUCUUAGACUUUCUUCUUGUUGUAAUGUUUCAGUCUGAACAGGAGAAGAUAACUGAACAGGGACUUGUUGUGAAGAAUUAUCAUGUGUAGGUGCAGACUCCACCUCUAACUCAAUCCUAUUAACUAGAUCCAUUGAACUCGUGUUUAGCUCCACAAUCGAAUCUUUUAAACCUGAAUCUGAAGAAGCAAACGAUUCCUUAAACAUCUCAUAUUCAUUAAAUUAAAUACGACAUCUCUACUGAUCACUGAUUUUGACAGAUCAUGAUCUAGAAGUCAUACUUUGUAUCCCUUGACACCAGAUGGAUAACCAAUAAAAAUACCUUCUAUGGAUCUAGCCUCCAAUUUUUCACUAUUGGUAUGAAAAUAAACAGGACAACCAAAUACCCUCAAAUAGAAUAACCAGGAGAGUUACUAGACCAUACUUCUUUGGAAGUCUUUAAUUCAAUAGUUGUGGAUGGAGAAUAGUUCACCAAAUAGUAUACUAUAAUAGUUGCUUCUAUCCAAAAAUCCCGAGACAAGCUAAAAUUAGACAACAUAUAAUUAACUUUUUCUAACAAAGUUUUGUUCAUGUGCGCUGCAACACCAUUAUGCUGUGGAGUCCCUCUGUCUUUGAGAUGCCUAAAAAUGCCUUCAUCUUUGCAGAACUUGUUAAAUUCACUAUCACAAAACUCUAGUCCAUUAUCUGUGCGGAGCCUUUCAAUCUUCUCACCUAUUUGCUAAAAGGAAGGAAAAUAAGCAAAAAUAAAUCUAGUUACAACAGGCCACAAAUUUUUUGCUACAAUAGAUUUCCUGCUUGGCUAGGUAUCAUAUAUCAAAUUCACUUCUCUGUGAGCAUGUUGAAUACGAAAGGUAAGAAAGACUUUAGAUAAGCUAAUGAUAGAAUUGUGCAUUGAGAAAACCUCCAAAGAUAUUUAUCUUGGGGAGACACCCGAGAAACUGCAACAAUAGAAUUAGAUUCCACAAGACACCAUGCAUUAAGGACCAAACAUCUCAAUGAGGAGCUAGAAUACUUAAGGCCUUUUCUAUUGUAAGAAGUUCAGCUACAUUUGAGUCUACAAUACCAACAGGACAUGAGAAAACACAUAUAAACAUACUAUGUGACUCACAUAGCACACCUCCAAUAGCAGCUGACCUGACUUCCAAAUGGAGGAACCAUCAACAUUCCAUUUAAUCCAAAAAGGAUCAAGCUUAACCCAAAAGAAAUUAGGCCUAGGCCUAGCCUAGAGCAAUAAGAUGACCACAUCUGAUAGCUUCAAAAGAAAUUAGAAGAUUUAAACUAGAAGAAGGAAAAGAAGCGUCCAAAGCUUUCAUCCAAAUGGACGCACGAUGGAGGAUAGGAGGGCGUAAGAAAUCCAUAUUAAGAUCUUUUCCAUCAAAAUUUUCUCUUUUCUAGUCAAGUACAGAGACCAUAUUAUAGCAUUAGCUAGUAACAAGCAAAACUUAGUUUGGAACUUCCCAUGAGCCAAGAAUUUCUAUUCGGAUAAAAGCAAAGGGACUGAACUUGGUUAGUAAAAGUGAAUGCCCCAUCAUUUGAGAAAUCAUGUACAAAUCUCCCUAGAAAGAUGGCAAUGGAGAAAAAUGUGAGAAACUGAUUCUUGAUAGAGCUCGUAUCUAGGACCAUAGUAUUAAGAAGGUAGAAUAUUUUUAUUUUGGACAAAAAUAUUAUUGUAAUGUCCAAUAUCAUGGAACUAACAUUUCAACUAGGAGGCUCCAUUGCAGAGGUAACCUUCCAUAACCUCUGUGUUCUCAAAGCUUAGAAGUACAUGAUCUCCACCUACUCCUUCCUCAGCAAAAAGCUCAUGCAUAAUAGGGAUGAGGUUUUUAUCAUUUUGCAAGAGUAGAUUUUGGUAACCAUUCACUAUUAAAAGAUUUUAUGUUCUCCGAAAUCUCAUACCUACCACAGACAAUAUAUGAACUGCCAGUGAAGGAUCUCAUCUCAAGACAAAUAUCAAAAGGUGGGACAACUCUAUCUAUCUUUGUUCGAGGAACAAAAAAUUGUUUGUAUUUGAAGCUCCACAUUGAUUUUGAUUAUGGCUACCGUUAUAAUCAAGUUUUGAGUUACCGAUCUUACCAUUCUUGGUAGUAAUGCUGAAGUAUGACUUGAAAGCUCGUAAUUUAAAGGUGUUGAUCCAAAGAAGAUUAAGGUUCGAAUAAGAUUUCACAUUACUGAGAUAGUAUGGACUUUUAUAAAAGAAAAAUGCUUCCCACUCUUGUUUAACUUUCUUAGGACAAAAAUAUCUGCAACGUGAGCAAACUUGAAGAUAAUCUUGCACAGCAAGGCAGUCACAAAAACUAGGUAGGUUUUCAAGAUAGAUAGUGGGAAAAAGUCUUCUUAAGGGAGGGGUUGAGAUGACCAUUAUGGGACGAUUGAGUGGAAAAAUGGAGUUAAUAGAUAAGUAAGGAAUCAAGUUUUUCUUUUUUCGAUCUACGAUAAAGGUAAUACAAGCUCAUUAAGAGAGAACUUGAAAAUCUUUUGAGUUAAGUACUCAAUAACUUUUAGAAAAAUUCUAUCAUAUCUCCUUUAUUAAUUUACUGCACUUAAAUAGCCAAGGCAAAAGACAACCUCAUCUUACAUAUAAGGAAACUCAAAAGUAUGAACUAAACAUGGAGGAACACCUUCCUACGAUUAAGGAAUUAAAAGCAACAACUAAUUAUCUGGAGAAUAUGGUUGAACUAAACCCACAGAAUAUGGCAGCAGCUCAAUCAUGUUGCAAGAAAACAAGAAUUUCUGAAUUGCCCUGUUUAGUGGCUUUGACCCGGUCUUGUAUUUCAAUAUUCUUCUUCCUCCAUGUGUGAAACUCGUGUAUAUUAGUAAGGGUUUGCUAACAACUGGCUAAUUGGGAUGGACCAAGGGUAUGAUAUGAAGGAGAGACUAGGUUGGCAGUGAUGCUGGAGGAAGAGUUGAUAGGGACAUGAUUUUUUUUUUUUCCAGUUAAGAUUAUAUAUAUGAAAAUAUGUGAAUAAAAUAUUAAAAAUAAAGGUUCAUGAAAAUAACAUUAUAGCAAACAUUCAUUACUAAAAGAAAGUUUGUACUAGUUGUAUGUUGUUACUUUAUAUAUUUUAACUGUAGCCAUAUGUUAAUAACAAGAGUUUGAGAAUUGCUAUAUCUACCUCUGCUACUGAAUAUAAGACGGUGAUUUACUUAUUUUUUUUUUAUAAUGAAUAAAAAACAUGGAUAAAAUUAUAAUUUUAUUAAAUAUAAAAUUAACUUUAUAUUAAAAUAUAUUACUAAUAAUAAAACUAUAAAUUUUCUUUAUAAUAAUUUUAAGAGAUAAUUUUACACCCAUUAUUGUUGUCUAAACUCUAAAAUGUAACCUCUAAAAUGUAACCGUGAUUUAUUUUGUUAGAAUGAGUUAUAAAAAAGUAUAAAAACAUGCAUGUCUGAACCAAAUAAAACGUAAUAUGUGAAUGAUUUAAUGAUUGUUAGAGUAAAUAAAUACUAUUAUUUAUUUACUCUAACAAUGAUGCAUGGAUUUUUGUAAUCAAGAAUGUAUUAACCGUGAUAAAUUAGUACUCUAGAUAGUGGAACAAAUGUAUACACGUACCCAAGCAACUAAGUUCAUGGAAAAAUUGCCUUCCCUUAUUACAGAUGGUUUUCCAGUAAUCAAUUCUAGAAGAACCACACCGAAGGAAAAGACAUCAACUUUUUCACUGAUCUUGCCAUCUUUGAGAAACUCAGGAGCCAGAUAACUACAAUUGGGGAACACAAGUAUGAGAAGAACCUAUUCGAUAAAUAGUGUGUAUAUAUAUAUAUAUGCACCUUACCCACGGUUUUCCAUUGCCUUAUUAUAAAUAUAGGCAACUAAAUAUGGAUGUUCUUGGGCAAGUACAAAACCUGAAAUCUGGAAUGAAAGAAUUUAUACAAGUCCAAUUAUUUUUUCAAAUAGCAUAAAAAUCAAAUUAUUGGCUCUAUUUUAUAUUUCAAAUUGAACUUAAUGAGUUUAUAAUUGAUAAGAAUUACUAUAAAAGAAACUUAUUAUAAUUAUUCUAAUUAUUGAGAAUGAAAACCAUAUUAUAUGUUUUAACAAUAUACAGUUAGACUCGGCUGAAAAAAAUUUAAAAUAAUUUAUGCUAAAUGUUUCAUACAAUAAUAUUGUAGAAUACAUCAUUAACAAAGCAAACUUUUAGUGUCUUUUGUUUUUGGAAAAUAUUUUCCUCAAAAUAUAUUUAAUAUAUUUAAGGUUUAAACCAUUUAAAAAGUAGGUCAACGAUAUUUUAAUUAAAGAAAAAACCAAGUCUCUUUUUUUUUGUGAAGCUAGACUCUAAGCUUACAUUUAAUUUAUUAGGUUAACUCUGGAAAGAUUUGUGUAAGCUGGUAAGAUACAAAUACUGUUGUAUCGACUGAUGAAUGAAUAGAGCUGAUUAUAUAGAAAAGAUUUACAAGUUUAAAAUUUGAACAUUAACAUAAAAGAAUAUAAUAUUAUCAUAAUUCUAACAAGCUUAUUUUUCAUUUAUUCAAAUUGGACUGCCUUCAUACCCUCCAUAUUUCAUCAAUCUAGUUCAAAUUUCAGAAACAUAUAUACGUAUAUGAUUAAGAUUCUCAAGAGAAAUUGUAUGACAUGUAUAUAGAGAUAUUAGCAACAAUUAUAGGAGCAUGCAUCAAGUUUUAUCUCCCUUAACUUGCUAACAACCGGCUAAUUGGGAUGGACCAAGGGUGCAAUACGAAGGUGUGGAGAGACUAGGUUGGCAGUGAUGCUGGAGGAAGGGUUGAGAGGGACAUGAUUUUUUUUUUUUUUCCUAGUUAAGAUGAUAUAUAUAAAAAUAUGUGAAUAAAAUAUUAAAAAUAAAGGUUCAUGAAAAUAACAUUAUAGCAAACAUUCAUUAUUAAAAAAAAAGUUUAUACUAGUUGUAUAUUGUUACUUUAUAUAUUUUAACUAUAGUCAUAGGUUAAUAACAAGAGUUUGAGAAUUGCUAUAUCUACCUCUGCUACUGAAUAUAAGACGGUGAUUUACUUAUUUUUUUAUAAUGAAUAAAAAAUAUGGAUAAAAUUAUAAUUUUAUUAAAUAUAAAAUUAACUUUAUAUUAAAAUAAAUUACUAAGAAUAAAACUAUAAAUUUUUUUUAUAAUGAUUUUAAGAGAUAAUUUUACACCCACUGUUGUUGUCUAAACUCUAAAUGUAACCUCUAAAAUGUAACCGUGAUUUAUUUUGUCAGAAUGAAUUAUAAAAAAGUAUAAAAACAUGUCUGUCUGAACCAAAUAAAAUGUAAUAUGUGAAUGAUUUAAUGAUUGCAAUGAUGCAUGGAUUUUUGUAAUCAAGAAUGUAUUAACCGUUAUAAAUUAGUACUCUGGAUAGUGGAACAAAUGUAUACACGUACCCAACCAACCAAGUCCAUGGAAAAGUUGCCUUCCCUGGUUUUCCGCUAAUCAAUUCAUGAAGAACCAUACCCAAGGAAAAGACAUCAGCUUUUUCACUGAUCUUGCCAUCUUUGAGAAUCUCAGGCCUGGGGAACACAAGCAUGAGAAGAACCUAUUCAAUAAAUAGUGAAUGGAUAUAUAUAUGCACCUUACCCACGGUUUUCCAUUGCCUUAGUAGAAAUACGGGCAACAAAAUUUGAAAGUACUUGGCCAAGUUCAAAACCUGAAAUCUGGAAUGAAAGAAUUUAUACAAGUCCAAUUAUUUUUUCAAAUAGCAUAAAAAUCAAAUUAUUGGCUAUAUUUUAUAUUUCAAAUUGAACUUAAUGAGUUUAUAAUUGAUAAGAAUUACUAUAAAAGAAACUUAUUAUAAUUAUUCUAAUUAUUGAGAAUGAAAACCAUAUUAUAUAUUUUAACAAUAUACAGUUAGACUCGGCUGAAAAAAAUUUAAAAUAAUUUAUACUAAAUGUUUCAUACAAUAAUAUUGUAGAAUACAUCAUUAACAAAGCAAACUUUUAAUGUCUUUUUUUUUUUUUUGGAAAAUAUUUUCCUCAAAAUAUAUUUGAUAUAUUUAAGGUUUAAGCCAUUUAAAAAGUAGGUAAAUGAUAUUUUAGUUAAAGAAAAGACUAAGUCUCUUUUUUUGGUGAAGCCAGACCCUAAGCUUACAUUUAAUUUAUUAAGGUUAACUCUGGAAAGAUUUGUGUAAGCUGGUAAGAUACAAAUACUAUUGUAUCGACUGAUGAAUGAAUAGAGGUGAUUAUAUAGAAAAGAUUUACAAGUUUAAAAUUUGAACAUUAACAUAAAAGAAUACAAUAUUAUCAUAAUUCUAACAAGCUUAUUUUUCAUUUAUUCAAAUUGGACUGCCUUCAUACCUUCUAUAUUCCAUCAAUCUAGUUCAAAUUUCAGAAACAUAUAUAUGUAUAUGAUUAAGAUUCUCGAAAGAAAUUAUACGACAUGUAUAUAGAGAUAUUAGCGACAAUUAUAGGAGCAUACAUCAAGUUUUAUCUCUCUUAAAACUUACCUUUGGUUCAAAGUUAUUGUCAAGAAGAAUAUUAUGAGAAGUGAUAUUUCCAUGUAUGACCAUAGGAGUACCUAAAAAUACACGAAUCAUAAAAUUAAAGUAAAACAUGCAAUCUCAAACAUGAAAAUAGAAUUUGAUUUACACUCACAAAAUUCAUGCAAAUAUGCCAAUCCUUUCGCACAGCCUAUGGCAAUUUUCUUUCUUCUAGACCAAUCGAUUGUUUUCUUGUGUCCUGCAUCUAAUCAAAUCUUAUAAAUGAGUACCCUUUUUCUAUUUAGAUAAAUGGAAGGCAUUUGGAUAAUCCUUCACAUAAUUAUCUAUCAAUUUUUGUAUGAUACGUAUAGUCAAGGACUCACCAUGUAAAUGAAAUCUCAAUGACUUGUUAGGAACAAACUCAUAAACAAUAAAUUUAUCAUAUUCUUCAUCGCAAUAUCCAAUCAGCUUGUUUAGAUAUUGGUAAUUGUGAUUGAUGGGAUUAACCAUUUGUUCAACUUCCAUCUGUUCACCCUCCCAAAGAUAAAGCUUGUUAAUGGCAACAGCCAUUCCAUCGAGUUCCCCCCUGUAAACUCUAGCAUAAUUAUCAUCGCGAAGCAUGCAAUUGUUGGAGAAAAAUUGAGUUGCAAUUGCUAGUUCUUCAAAAGAAAACAUUCUCGGCGAAAAAAUUUGUGCCCUCUCAAUGCCAAGUAGAGAUUCUAGACUAGUAGUAGGCCUUCCUGUAUGUGCAGUAGAAAUGUUAUACAAAUAUAUAAGCAGACAUAAAUUGAUAUAUGGAGUUCUAGUUGGGUUUACAACCCUAUUAAUCAUGGGUUGGAUAAACAACAUGAAUCCAAUAUACAUUUAAGUUUAAUAUAUUUACUCCCUCAAUUGCAUCAAUAAUAACAAUUUGAUUCCGUAUUUUGAAAUUAGUGUAUCUUUUGAUUUUACUUCAGCCACACACUUGAAUCCUUCUGUCAUGUGCUGUUAGUUUUUAAAAAUAAACUACUAUUUAAUUUUUAAAUUUUGUCAUUAUUUACAGUUUCAUUCCUUAAUUUUGUAAUUAGUUAUAAUUUUAUCCCUCAUAUUUAUCUCUUUUACCAUUCUCACUUUCUUUAUCACUCCCUCCAUCUAUAUAUCUGUCUCUUCUCUAUGACAAAGAAGAGAAAAGAGAUAAAGUAGAUGAAUGAAAUAUGAAUAAUUUCAAAAUUAAAGAAUGAAAUUGGAAAUAGUUAUAAUAUUAAGGGACUAUAUAGUAAUUUCGUAAAAUACUAACGCAAAAUGGACGAAAGUAUCUAAGUAUACGACAAAUUUUUAGAAAAUAUAUCUAAUAAAUGAAUGGAAAAUGGCUUAAGGAAUUUUUAGAAAAUAUAUGUAAAGAUGAGGAAUUUUAUGUAAUUUCAAAGAUGGAGAUUUUUAUGUUAGCAUACUAAAGAUAAAGGAGCAAAGUGUAACAAACUCUAAAUUUGAAAAGCUGAGUAUAAAUUAUCCAAAAUUUAUAUAUAUUAUUAAAUUCAUGCAUCUGUUUAUCCUUAAAUUUAUGCAUUUUAAUUUAUCAUGUGUUAAUAUUUUCAAAAAACAGUAAAAAAUAGUCAUAUCUCUAAUUUUGUAAACUUUAUAUUAUUACUUAAGUAAAAUUUGAAAAUAAAAAUAACUUUUUGCAAAUUUAUAAUUUUAAUGAAAAGUCACUAAUUAAAAGUAAUAAAGUCGCAUAUAUAAUUUCAAUUACCCUGUAUAGUUUCAAUGUCUUUCCUGUCUAUUAUCUUCUCAUGCGAAAUAGUUCCUUCAAGAACUCCAAUUAUCUGCAUGAGAUAAACUAAUUCAUGAAUGAAACAAAAUACGAUUAUAUUAAAAAAAUAAAAUAGCUUAUAAUUUUAUCAAAUUUCAGCAAAAGACCAAAUAUAUUUACGUGUAAAAUUAUUUAUUUGCAUAAUAUGAAAGAACAUUUUUAAAAUAAAAAAUGAUAAUGAUUGUGCAUAUGUGUAAUAUUUAGGAUAAAGAAAAGCAAACCAAUAAUAAUUUGAAUGAAUUAAAUAUAAAAAAUAGAAUAAAAAUUGUUAAAAGAUUAUUAUAAGAAAAGAAACAUGUAAAAAAAGUUAUGCAAAAAAAAUAAUAAUUCUACAAGUGUAAUUUUUAUCAAUUAAAUUUAUAAUGUAUUUUAUCAUAACCUGGUACAUGUGUGUAUAUACCUACACCUUUAUUCAUAAGCUAAUCCAGUACUUUUAGAAUCUCAACAUAAUACACCUUUAUUAAAGUUAAAUACUUUAGUCUUUCUAUCCAUUUAACCACUAAUACUUAAGAAAAAAAUUUAAAAUGCCAUAAUAAAAGGAGGUUCACUUUUAAAAAUAUCAAUAAUGAUAAAAUUUAAGAAUUAAAUUGCUAUCUAAUUAUUUGAAAUUUAACUGAUGAAAUUUUUUAAGAAAUACUUAAAAAAUAGAUGAAAUAAUUAAACUAUUUAUCGAAAUCAAAAGUUAAGAAUAUUUUUUUAACAAAUUUUCUAAACUAUAUGAAUAGUUUUGUUAAUAAUCCCUUAAUUUUUUUAAAUCUCUAUAUACAUACACACUUUACCUGUUUCAUUGUUGGACGAGAGUACGAAGGUUUAUAUACCGAAGCUGCUGCACAGUAAAUCAUUCUUAUCAUUUCUUUCUUGUUAUACAUAUCUUCCAAUUUUGAAUCGACAAGAUCGGUAUAAUCAUCGUUGUCCAAAGCUUGUCCAAUCUGAGAUCUAGCCUAAAUGUUGAUAAGUGAAAGUAUUUGUUAAUUUUUUUUAUAUCAAUAAAAGGUUUUUUUGAAUGCAUAUUUAGUCUAAUGUCAAGAGCAAUAUACGAUUUGAUGAAUUUGAAAAAUUUUAUAAACUAUUUACAAUAUAUUAAAAUAUGAAUAGAAAUGUAUAUGCCACUCUUUGGCAUAGAGUUGACACCAAUGAAAAUGGGACUACAUGUUUUUCAAAAAAGAAAAAAAAAACAUUAUCCUCUUGUUUGGAAUAAAAAAUUUCAUAAGAAAUCAAUUCAAUUCAAUUCAAUUCUUUUCUACAAUUUUCUUGUUUGGAAGGGAAGAAUUAUUUAUUUCUUAACUUACAAAAUUUUCAUUUUCAAAGAAAAAUAAAAUCAUACAUAAUUUUAUAAGAAUUCAUUUGAAUUAUUUUUUUGCAAAAUGAAUAUAUCAACAAAGGAGAUAGGCUUCUUAUCAAGAGCACACAUGCAAUAUAGCAAUGAGAUUACAACCCUCGCUAUUCCAAGUGAAAAGCUACACACAAACUAUGGAGAGGGCUUAGUUUGUAUUCUACAAUCAUGUGUGACUUGCAAUACCUCACACUUACCAGGCUUGACAUGUGAAAGUUUGUGAUUGAGGAUUUCUAGUUUGUUCAUUGUGCAACAAAAGUGCACUAGACUACUAUGAAGAGGAUGUCGCACUACCUUUAGGCAACUCCAGAGUAUAGGUUGCACAUAAUUAAAUCAUCAAUCCCCUGGAUCCCUACUUAUAUAGAUGCUGAUUGCGAUUUUUGUCUUGACGAUGACAAAUUUACAACAAGGUACUCCAUAUACUUAAAAAAUAAUAUUGUGUCAUGGCCAUCUAGGAUUUAGAAGAAAAAACCAUUGUAGUUCGUUUAUAAAAAUUGAGAAUUGGGCUAUUUUGACUGCCACAACAACGGUAUCUUGGAUACAAUAGUUGAUCCAUGAAAUAUUUGUGCAAUCAAAUGAAACUUCAGUAUGUGAUAAUGUAGGUUCAACUUAAGAUAACAUAAAGGGAGCUACAAUUUCAAUACAUCUCCUUGCAAGACUAGUUGGCCAAUAUUCUAAUAAAGUUAUUAUCUAGGGUUGUAACUGAAUAAAACUCCUUGUGAGCUAUUUAAGGCUUGACUCAAUAAAGAUUUGACUUAAGUUGAUUCUUUUUCUAAGUAAGCCAAGUUGAAGACUUAAGUUUUAGACUCGUUUAAUAAACUAGCUAAAAUCGAGCUUUUAAAUAUUCAACUCAUUAAGACUCGAAAGCUCAUUUGUUUAUAGAUUUACAAGUCAACUCAUAAAUAUACAUAUUUAACUGAAAUUAUUUAGUUUGAAACUAAUUAUGUUUAAAUUAAAACUUGUUGAGGUUGUAAAUGAAUCGAACUUUUUGUAAGGUAUUCGAGACUUGGCUAUCUAAACUCAUUUGCUAAAUAAAUCAAGUUUGAACUUAUUAAUACUCAAUUCGAGUUAUAAAUGAGCAUAGCUCUGUUAAAUAAUAAAUACUUUGCAAUUUUUAGAUGCAUGAAUAUAGACUAGUCUAUGGUUACAUAAUGCAUCAAAUAGCUUUUGCAUUUUAUGCUGCUCACUUCUUUGCAAUUGGUUGGUUAUGCCACAAUAGUUGGGAGGCAUUUAUGUGAAGCUAGUAUUUUCUUCUCAAGUAAUUUUCUACGUAUUCUUAUAUCCUUUUUCUAUUUUUUCGUAAAGAAUUAUUCCAUCCUUCUAUUUUAAUAGUCUUGUUUUGUUGUUUAUCUAUUUUAAUAGUCUUGUUUUGUUGUUUAUUGUGUUAUUGAUAUGUUUUUCCAUAUUUUUCACCUAACAUGCAUCAUCUGAGUUUGAGUGUAUAGAGGUCUACUAAAAUCUUAGUAGGAUAUUGUAUGCUAACCUUUUUCUAUAUAUUAUAGUAAUAAAAUUCCUUGCCUAUUAAUAUCAUACCUCAAAUUAAGCAUCAAAUUAGAUAAUAAUAAAACUCAACUAGAAUUUAUCUAACAAUAUCUCAAAUUGUGCGCAAAGAUUCUUCCUAGGUAUAAUUGAAUUCUUGAUAUCAUGUUGGAGUUGACUACAAGUAAAGGAUUUUUAAGAAAAAUACAAGAACCAAAAUCAAAAGAAGCUGGAAAGAUAUCUUUAAAGCUACAUUAAAGAUUAUUGAACCUUAAAAAAUAGGUCCAUAAGUGAUAGGAUUAAUGUAUAAAGGUAACAGAAAGGAUUGCCAAUGAUAUGUUAGCACCUCAAAUUUCAAAUUUGAUCCGUUUAGCAAGUAUUUUGAACCCGUUUUGAAGCCUUUAAAGUCAAAAACAUUUUCUCUUUGGACUUGACAAUUAAACUCUUAGUUUGCUAACUAAAUUGCUACUAUUAAUUGUUUGCUAAGUAGUUUGCUACUGUCUUAAAAUUCUAUCUCUACACAAAUUUACCAUUAUCCAAAUGUCCUACAAAUGGUCAUAAAUGCUCUUGGACUAUAAAUACUUCAAUUUUACAUCAUUUUGUGCUUAAUCAAAGUCUUAAAAUGGUCCUAUUCUUUGAGAUCAUCGGAUCCGUUCAAAGUGUUUCAAUUUUGUUUGUUGAGCUUCAUUAGCAAACCUAUUUUGUCUCAUCCUCAUAAUUGAUGAUUUUACUGAGUGAGUUGAGUGAAAAUUAAUCUACAAUGUCAUUUAUGAGGGUUGUUUAAGCACCCAGAGAAAUUGAAAAAGAGUGAGUUAGAAGACACUUACAAAGGGUUGCGAGCACCUAGUGAAGGCUUAUUAAUGUAAAAGGGAUAUCCUAUCCAAUGAAAAGAGAAUAUAAUGAAGCAAAGAUUCAAAGUGAAGCUUUGAGAGAGUGGACGUAGGCUAGUUAUAGCAUAAACAAUAUGAAAAUCUUUGUGUUCAUUUCUCCAAGCCCUACUCUCUUUACUUUAUUUCAUUUUAUUGAGUUAUAUUGAGAUUAAAGAAUUGACUGUAAUUAGAUUUGGAUGCUUUAGUGAAAACUUCAUUGAGUUAAGCAUACUGAUCUUAGUUCAUAUUGUUUUGUGCUGCUUUAGGUUGCUUCCAUAUUCUAGAUUGAACAUCUUGUGAAAUAUAUAUGCUUGUUUGAAGUGCUUGGCAAAUCUACCACAAUUAAGCACACUUAAUUGAUUUUAGCCUCAAUUUUUUAAAAGUAUCAAGCAAGAGUCGAAAAAUUGACCCCUAAUCACGAUUUACCCUUUAACGUGUGAUUGGCUAAAAAACUAUUUGACCAAAUUUUAAAGUUCUAUAUUCCAAUAAUACAAUCAUAUUACUCUGAAUAUUUUCACCAUAAAGGCAGAGGAGAAAAGUCAUUGCCUAAGUAAUAACUAUGAUAGAUUUAGAAGAAAGGACAUAGUGGCAACUUGUUCCUUGCAGGAUCCAUUACCCUUCUUCACCAUGAGCCCAACAACCUAGGUUCCAUCUACCAAAGUUAUCAUCCAAUAAUUUUGGUGCAUCAAAUUGUUUGGAACCUAAAAUUACUCGUCUAUCUAGCUUGAUAGACAACUCCAUCUUUGUUUUAGUGAUCAACCAUUAAACGGCUAGAAGAAGGUUGCACUACAUGGCUUAAAAGUACUUUGUUGAUGAGCGUUCGUGUGGAUCAAAGGUCAACGUUUGAGGCUCUCGGUUCUCAUGCUGAGAGAAAUGAUUCUAUACAACAAGAGAUAAAUAGACCUCUAAUUAUAAAAUAGGUUUUCUCUCUUUUACAUUUCUCAAAAUGGUUGAUGGGCUUAAGUUUCAAUUCGAAAGACAUAAGAGUUGCAUCUAGUUGUGUAUUUGUAAACUAUUUUAUCAUGGAAAUUGAAUUGGCAAUGAGCUUGACAGUCUAGAUUAACUAAGUUACAUUAUUUUAUGCAUGCGCUCUCCAUUGUGCAUUUUCAUAUAUACACACAUAAGGUGAAGUUUUUUCUAUUAUUAUUUUUUUGGGUGAUUUACAAUUUAGUCCCUGAGUAUUGCUAUUAUUAACAAGUCAGUCCCUGUAUUUUUAGAAACCUAUUAAAACGUCCUUAUAUUUUAUUUCCAUCAACGAAAUAGUCCUUCCGUCCUAUUUUCCGUUAAAAUUAGAUAAAGGAGGAGAGAGAAAAUUUUUAAAAUUCAAUUUUACCCUCAAAUAAAACCAUUUAUUUAGUCCUUGUAUAUUGCAAUUAUUAAUAAGUUAGUCCUUACAUGUUCAAAAAUCUAUUAAAAUAUUUUUAUCUUUUUUCAUAUCUAUUAAAACGUCCUUAUCAUUUUUUUUCGUCAAUGAAAUAGUCCCUAUCUUUUCUCAUAUCUAUUAAAACAUCCUUAUUGUUUCUUUAUGUCAACGAAAUAGUCCCUCCUCAUCGUUUCUUUCUGUCAACGAAAUCGUCUCUCCCUAUAUUUUUAGAAAUUUAUUAAAACGUCCUUAUUGUUUCUUUUUAUCAACGAAAUAGUCCCUAUCUUUUCUCAGAUCUAUUAAAACGUCCUUAUCGUUUCUUUUUAUCAACGAAAUAGUCCCUAUCUUUUCUUUCCUCCUCCUCCUCCCCCUCCUCCUCCUCCUCCUCCUCCGAAAAAGAAGAAGAAGAAGAAGAAGAAGAAGAAGAAGAAGAAGAAGAGAAAGAAGAAAAAGAAGAAAGAGGNNNNNNNNNNNNNNNNNNNNNNNNNNNNNNNNNNNNNNNNNNNNNNNNNNNNNNNNNNNNNNNNNNNNNNNNNNNNNNNNNNNNNNNNNNNNNNNNNNNNNNNNNNNNNNNNNNNNNNNNNNNNNNNNNNNNNNNNNNNNNNNNNNNNNNNNNNNNNNNNNNNNNNNNNNNNNNNNNNNNNNNNNNNNNNNNNNNNNNNNNNNNNNNNNNNNNNNNNNNNNNNNNNNNNNNNNNNNNNNNNNNNNNNNNNNNNNNNNNNNNNNNNNNNNNNNNNNNNNNNNNNNNNNNNNNNNNNNNNNNNNNNNNNNNNNNNNNNNNNNNNNNNNNNNNNNNNNNNNNNNNNNNNNNNNNNNNNNNNNNNNNNNNNNNNNNNNNNNNNNNNNNNNNNNNNNNNNNNNNNNNNNNNNNNNNNNNNNNNNNNNNNNNNNNNNNNNNNNNNNNNNNNNNNNNNNNNNNNNNNNNNNNNNNNNNNNNNNNNNNNNNNNNNNNNNNNNNNNNNNNNNNNNNNNNNNNNNNNNNNNNNNNNNNNNNNNNNNNNNNNNNNNNNNNNNNUGUAAAUCUCCCUAUUUUUUUUUUUUUUGUAAAUAGUUAAUACAAUCUUUAUGAUCUAGAUAUAAGAUAAGUAAGGAGAUAAGUGUUGAUAGGUAAGGGAAAACCCAUAUGUGCCUUCUUCCUCUAAAAGUCUCAUGUCUCAAUUAAUCAAAAGCUACAAAGAGAGCAAAAGGAUAAGGGCGUGCGAAGGAGACAAUGGUCAUGGUGAAUGGUGCUAAAGGAUUUAGUGGUGACAAGACUAAACUGAUGUUAAGGUGAAUGGUGCUUGAAGUUUUGGUAAAGAAGAAUUACGAUAGAGGCUUAAAGAGAGUUAAAGAUGUAAUCAAGAGAAGUAGUUUACAGAAAGAGAUUCCAUAUAGCAUAAGAGGUAUUAUAUAAUCCGUUAUAGUUCGUUUUGAACUACUCAUCUUACAAAUAGAAAUAAAAUAAAAUGAAUUAUGCAUGAUUUUAAUUUAUUUUAGAAUCAAUUUUUUUAGUUAAAAUAUAGUUAAAUUCUUCCAUUUUAAUAAUAAGAUUGAUAAAAAAAAAUCAAUUGAAUUUAAUUUUAGUAAUUUUGUUUUUCAAAUAAAGUGUUAGAAACAAAGGAGAGGAGAGAUAAAUGUAGAAUUGAUACGUUAGCAAGUAGUUACUUAAGGUAUAACUUCAUUGUUCAAUGAGCUAUUAUGCAGGAUGAUGCUAAAAUUUAGGUCAUAGUAUUGCAAACCCCUUAAAUUUAGGAAUACUGUUUAAAAUUUAUCAAUGUUUUCUUCCACAUAGCACAUUUCACCAUUUUUUUGGUCGAGAUGGUUAUCCAGUUUUAAUAAAUGUGUCAGUUGAUCCUAAUUUUAUUUCUUAAAUCCUACACAUCUAUUUGAAAAAUAAACCUCUCAUAUCAUCUAUGUUUAACUAAAAACAUAUAUACAAGUUUAGUGUAUGCACGUGUAUAUAUAAGUAUCAUACCCAAUUAACAAUAGUAUUGCCUUGUUCAUCUGAAAGUUCUCUUCCGGUAAUCAGCUCUAGGAGUACAACGCCAAAAGAAUAGACAUCUGAUUUUUCUGACACUCUUUGUUUAUCGCCAUAUUCUGGAUCUGCAUAACUAUAAUAAAAAAAUUCACUAAGAUUUUGUAUUAUCUAAUGUAUCAUUUCAUCUUUGAUUUUGAUAUAAAAAAACCAGUGGACAUCUAAACCUUUUUUAGUUAACAUUUAAUAAAUAAUCUAUAUAAAAAAUAUUACUCUUUAACUCCUCUAUUUUGAGGUUCGUUAUACUUCUGUAAAAUAUAAUAGUUUAAUAGUUACACUUUCAUAAAUUAUGCAUGUUAAUUACUAGUUAAAUAAAAGUUAAGACACUACGGGACUUUGUGUGGCAAAAAAAAAAGUAUACCAUUAUUUAUUUUUUCUUAGAAAGUAAAAAAUCUUUGCAAGAAAAGCACUCAAAUACUGUUAGUUACUAUUUUAAUUCAUAUUUUUGAAGAGAAAUUUACUAUUUAUCUUUUAUAGUAUAAGAAAACUCAUUAAUUGAUCAUUCAGUUUUGAAAUAUAUACUAAAACGUUUUUGACAUUUUAAAAAGUCUAUUAGUUAACCCCUUCGUUAAUUUUAGUCAUUAAAUAUUGUAAAAAAGUAUGAAAUGCCGUUGAUACGGAAGAAUUAAUUAGUAGAUUUUUUAUAAACAUGAAGGAACAAUUAAUAAAUUUUUUUUAAACUAUAAGGAUUAAAUAGUGAAAUAUUUAACGGUUAAAAUUAACAAAGAAACUAAAUAGAAAAAUUUUUAAAAUAUCAAAGAAAUUAUAAUAUAUUUUUUAAAAUUAAAAGUUCAAUUAAUAAGUUUUUCCAUAUAAUAAAGAUUAAGUAAUAAUUUUUUCUAUUCUUAACUCCUCAAAAAUAAACUCUAUAUGAAUUUAGAAAUUAAAGUCAAAGAGGCCUAAUUUUAUUUUUUUUAACAAGAAUUCUAAUUUCUCUUAUUUUCAAAAGAAUUUUAUCCAUUUAGCUAUUAAAGACGAAGUUUUCAAGUUGAAAUUCUAAAUAAGUAGGAAAAUUCACAUAAAUAAAAUUUUACAAAUUGAAUCAAUUUCUCACUUUGUAAUUUUUUUUUAAUUUUGAUAACCUCCUAGCUUUCCUAGCCCAGGAAUAAGGACGGAUUCAAGAGAAGGCCACAAGUCCAAAACCCGUCAGAUCAUACGCUCGAAAGACGGCCCAACUUCACAAGCCCGGGACCAGCAACCCAGAGCAAUUCGAAUCAGAUACGGACCCAGGCCCAAUAGGGAAGCAGGCCCAGUCACUCACCAACCCUGUUCGCAUGCGUGACAGGGAGAAUUAAAUGGCCGCUUGGCGUGGAGAAGGGGUCUGACACGUCCGUACGUACGGACCUGAGUGACAUGGACAAGUAGCACUAUAGAAUGGGGAGGUCUUCUCUUUCAGGGUUCUCUUCUUCCUCUCUCUCCUUCCUAGACUCCAUUUUUUACCUUCUCUCUACAACUCUUGCUUAAAUAUACUACUCUAAUCCAUAAAAUCUGACUUGAACGUCGAAGGGUCUCCACCGAGGGCAUUCCCGAUAGACCCCUGACCAUUUUUCCCUAUUUUGCAGGUCUCAUCGUCAAAUAUAGAACAUUGAGAGACCCAUUUGACGGACCCAUAUGAUGGACCAAGAAGAAAACCAGACCCAUCAGGGAGCCCAGAGAAAAAAAGAUUUAUCAAUUGGCGCCGUCUGUGGGAAACGAAAGGGAUUUUACUCUCUUUAAAGUUUCCAGAUCCACCCAUUGAGAUUCACAUAAGGUAUGAAAGCUUGUGCAAAUAACCCAGCUGAAGAGAAAGAUUCAUCGUGUUAAAAAAUAUUUUGAUAAUAUUUCAGAUAGUUUGUUUUAAUAUUUAUUAGGUUUUAUUACGGCUGAUUUUUUUCUUUGAAAUCUGGUGAAGCAAAAUUUCAGAUCGAAGUACUUGUUUAUAAGUAUAAAUUCUAAUCUUUUUUGUAAAAGGAAAAAAGAGUGAGUAAUACAUAUAUUUGUUGAAAUUGUGAGGUGGCCGUGUGUAUAUUGUCAAGAUAAUAGGGGCAGAUCGGCUGUAAAAUUCCAGGUUAGCAUGUUAGAGAGAAAAUUAAUAAGUGAAAAAUAGACGAGGUCAGACUAACAUUUCAGGUCGGAUAGGGCAUGAGGUCGGAUGGAGCACGAUCCAUGGCCAUCUAACUGGAUUGCACAGCAACGUCCCUCAAGUAUCGGGGCAACAUGGAGACAAUAAGAAAUGAUCAAAUGUCUAGACUGAUCGAGGUGGAUGAACUCAAACUCUGUAUGCCGUCCAACUUGAAGAUGAGGUCGGUUGGGUUACGAGGUUGGCACUCCUUCAACCUCUGAUUGAACAGACCUGCUUUAGCACCAGGACGCUUGAUCGAAGCAUCGAGGAAUCUAUAUGGUCAAACCCGUAGGUCGGACACCCAAGAGCUGGACAGCUCCGGAGCUUGAAGAAAUCUCCUCCUUCCUUCACCAACUCCUUCACAAUUCCUCCUCUUCCUCUCCCUCUGCUAAAUUCAUGCACCAUGCUCUCUCUCUUCUCCUUCUCCCCCGCUGCCGCUGCCGACACAGACUAAACCUCCGACUGAAUUGUUAUUUGGCCGCUCCCAAGAUGGGAGUCACAAUGGCAAUUCAUCUCUUGCUUACAAUCAAACCCUAGAUCAAAACAGACAAUCAUCACUUUCCCAAGCAAGAUCUCCCAACCUAGAUCGACUUUCAACCAUUUCAAAAGGAUCCAACUCCAAGACAUCCAAUGUCAGGUAUUGAGAAUGUCUAAGGAACCACGCGGCCAGCAUCGGCGGCAAUGCUUUUGACGGCUGUGGUGAGUUCAUGCCUGGGGGAGAAGAAGGCACAAUCGAAGCUUUAAAAUGUGCGGCUUGUGACUGCCACCGUAACUUCCACCGGAAAGAGGUGAAUGGGGAGACUCAAUUUAGUCCGAGUUCGCAAAGAAGUUCGUUCGUCCUUCAAAUGCCACCACCACCACCAUAUGUUUUAUACAAGAAAAGGUUUAGGACCAAACUCACUCAAGGACAGAAGGAUAAAAUGAUGGAGUUUGCAGAGAGGAUCGGGUGGAGGAUCAGUAAGCCGGAAGAGGAGGAGGAGCAAAAUUAAUGAGAAAAUGAACCUGCACUCAUCUGAAGUGCUGCUCGCCACAUUUUGGAUAAGCAUGCCGAUUGAUGAUUGAAAUAAGGAGGAAGCAACAUGAGUUGAAAACUCUCAGGUCAUUUCUCAAAAAUAUUUUUUUUACUUAGUCAGGGAUGUGGUCACUUUCCCUGGCUUUGUAGACUGCAUUUACCUUGAUGCCCUGACAAGCUGCAACUUGACAAUGGCUUGAGUGAUGUAAUAACCAUCAAGAAAAGAAAUUGGUCAGAUGCUGUGGAACCCACACGUACAGAUGGAAGCAUGUUACGAGAUUUUGUUUGUGUUGAAAAUGCCAAGUUGCACAGCAAUGUUGUACCGCAUGCAGUAAAUUUCUUUCAUUUGAGGACGGGACCCAUCCCCAGCCAAAAAUCCAUGAACAGUCCUCUGGAAGUUUGGAUACUCCGUAUUCAUUCAUAUGCCUUCUUGCUUCAGCUGCUUCAUUCCAUUCCCCAGCAGCAGCAUGAACGUUUGCUAAGUGAAUGUGCCGGCCACCAUGAUCGGGGUCCAAUUCAAUUAGGAAUUUCCCUAUCUGCUUACCUAAUUCUGUAUUUCCAUGAAUCUGACAGGCAUUUAGUAGUGCUCCCCAUAUGACAGCAUUUGGUUUUACUGGCAUUCGCUCAAUCAAAUCUGUUGCUCUCUUCAGCAAACCUGCUCGACUGAGUAGAUCAACCAUGCAUCCAUAGUGCUCUACUGUUGGGUCCAAGCUAUGAACUUUCUCCAUGCUGUCAAAUAGUGAUUUUCCUUCAUCAACCAAUCCUGCAUAACUGCAUGCUGUCUGAUGAUUGAAAUAAGGUACAUAUAUCUUGCCACGUGUCAUUAGCAUAAUUGCUAUUGGAGAAAUUUACAAGCCCUUAAUUACUUAUCUUAAAUACUCAUGAUAUAUAUGUAUGCUCCAGUUAUCCAAAUCGUACUUUGCUGUGUAUAUUUAUUAUUUUGCUUCAGAAUUUCAAGAAUGUCUUUAGUUAUUGGCAAUUAUUUUUAAUUAAACAUUAUUGAACACAAAUGAUUUCAUAGAUUAUUAAAAGGCAUGCUUCGCAUGUAAAUAGUAAGACUAAAUUUAACUAAAAUAUACCUCUAUGAGUUUAGAUAUCCUGAUAAUUGCUUACAUUUUAUAGAUCGAAAAAUUCUGGAGAAAUUUACACGUGCAAAUAUUAUUUAUUGAACCUUUGAAUUGCAUGAGUUAAUAUUGUUAGUUAGAGCUAAUAUUUACGUUCAUCUGAAAUAUGAAACUAAGUGACAUGUGCGACACAUUAUUGAUGAAUAUUAUUGAAUUAACAACGAGCAUCCUCGUUAUAUAUGCUCUGUGCAAUAUUUUAUUUUGCAGAAAAAUCCUGAAUCUCGCUCAAAGACCUCAGGCAAGCACAAGACCGGGAUCCCCAAGAUCUCCUGGCAUCAGAAGACCUCCUUGAGACAUAGAGACCUCUUGGAGGUAGAAAGACCGGGAUUCCCAAGAUCUCCCGGAUUCAAGACAAGGAUCCCCAAGAUCUCCUGGCAUCAGAAGACCUCCUUGAGACAUAGAGACCUCCUUGAGACAUAGAGACCUCCUGGAGGUAGAAGACCUCCUUAAGACAUAGAGACCUCCUAGAGGUAGAAGACCGGGAUCCCCAAGAUCUCCCGGAUUCAAGACCAGGAUCCCCAAGAUCUCCUGGCAUCAGAAGACCUCCUUGAGAUAUAGAGACCUCCUGGAGGUAGAAGACCAGGAUCCCCAAGAUCUCCUGGCAUCAGAAGACCUCCUUGAGACAUAGAGACCUCCAGGAGGCAGAAGACCUCCUUGAGACAUAGAGACCUCCUGGAGGUAGAAGACCUCCUUGAGACAUAGAGACCUCCUGGAGGUCGAAGACCAGGAUCCUCAAGAUCUCCUGGCAUCAAAAGACCUCCUUGAGACAUAGAGACCUCCUGGAGGUAGAAGACUAGGAUCCCCAAGAUCUCCUAGCAUCAGAAGACCUCAUUGAGACAUAGAGACCUCCUGGAGGUAGAAGACUAGGAUCCCCAAGACCUCCUGGCAUCAGAAGACCUCCCUGAGACAUAGAGACCUCCUAGAGGUAGAAGACCGGGAUCCCCAAGAUCUCCCAGAUUCAAGACCAGGAUCCCCAAGAUCUCCUGGCAUCAGAAGACCUCCUUAAGACAUAGAGACCUCAUGGAGGUAGAAGACCGGGAUCCCCAAGAUCUCCCGGAGCUACAAGUCCAGGAUUCCCAAGAUCUUCUGGCAUCAAACGGCCGAGAUCCCCAAGAUCUCUUGGUGACAUAAGCAAAAAUAACUCAUAAGAACAUAGUUCCGACCCCACAUAAAAGAUGGGGGCGAGGGACCAUAAAUGAAAAGCUAAACUCCGACCUCCCAAAGGAGCUCGAGUCAUAAAGUAAAGAGACUUUGAUUUCACAGCGGCGCCAAAGCGCCAAAGCACCAUGCCGAUCUCAAGAAAAUGAGCUCAGUACUGGUAAAUUCAAUAGACAAACCGAAUUAAGGCAAGGCGAGUCCUAAGCAAAAUGCAUACCAAAAUACAGAACCAAAUAAAGAAUCAGGGACAAUCAUAAAAGGCACCGACCUCGAGAAUUGACCGCUAGCACUGAACUAACUCAGCUGGCCUAGAAAGAGAUCCAGGCAGCAAAGAGCUCGCAAAACGCUCGAGGGCAGACAACCCAUAAAACACUCGGGGGCAAAAAACCCAACCAACCGAUACAUACACGAGAGCCCAAUGCUCAGAUAAAGAAUCAAGGAGGCAGGACGGUCCAAUCCAAAACAGAUAGUCCGACCUCUUCAAUCUAGGGUCGAUCUCCCCAGAAGCUUGGAGGGACCUCAUACCUGGAUCGGCAAGGCUAUAAGCCUAUAAAAGAAAAAGUUAAAACCGAACAAAAAAGCAGUCAGACUGAAACACAGCCCGAACAAGGCUCGACAAGAAAACAAGAAAUUAAGUCUGACUUCACAGAAGAGCUCGGGGCACCAAAGUGAGGAAGGCGAAAUUCCGAACUCCUGAGCCCGUAGCACAGGCAGCAUCACAAGUCAUAGGCGUAAAAGCCUAAGCAAAGAACAAAAAUCCGAGCUCCUUAAUCCGCGGUCUGGACGGACUCACGACAAGUAAACAACCAAGCUGAAUAAAGCUGAGCAUAGAGGACAUACCAGAAAGCCGAGCUCCCUACAUGAAAAGGCCUGCAAAUGCAGAAAAACACAAAGGACUAAAUGAAAGCGAGAGACCCUGCUCACCGCUCGGAUUAACUCACAGUAAACAAACACUUAGCAAAGAUGACUCUGGGAGAGGAAAACGACAAAAGACCGAGCUCCCUAUCCUAGUGGAGCACACAACUCAGACUACCCUAAUCGCCAAAAGGUUACAUCCAGAGAGAUAAGAUGUCUGAGCUCGUAGCGAGAACAAGAUUUAUAAAAUUGUCUAAAACGGGGCAGGCAUGCAAAUAAGACAUUUCUCUAGGUAUUAUAUAUCCGAGCUCAUAGCAUUGACGAGGUCAUGAACCAAAAACAGAAAUGCCCUCAUAAGAAUAAGAAAAACUUGCAAGUAAGAACCUUAAUCAGACUCCGAGCUCUUAGCCCGGAUCAGUCCGACUAUCAAAGUCUCAGUAGAGCUAGCCUGGACCAUCAAUUAAGUAAAAUUGACAAAGCCAGAAGACAGUCUAAGAGAAAAAUAAUGAUGAGGUACAUGCCGAGGUGAAAUAUCAUUCAUCAUCGAACAAACAUCUCCAUAUCGCCAUACAUUCGAACAUCAAAGUAAAGAGACAAAAAUAAUAAAAAGGCAAGGAAAGGAUACUUUCGACAAGAGCAGUUCUCAGACCACACGGUCAUGAAUAGAGUUUAAGGAUUUACCCCCUCACCAGUCAUGGAAUAACUGCCAAGGAGGUAAAGGGGCAAUUGAUAACCUCCUGGCUUUCCUAGCCCAGGAAUAAGGACGGAUCCAAGAGAAGGCCACAAGUCCAAAGCCCGUCAGAUCAUACGCUCGAAAGACGGCCCAACUUUACAAGCUCGGGACCAACAACCCAGGGCAAUUCGAAUCAGAUACGGACCCAGGCCCAGUCACUCACCAACCCUGUUCGCAUGCGUGACAAGGAGAAUUAAAUGGCCACUUGGCAUGGAGAAGGGGUCUGACACGUCCGUUCGUACGGACCUGAGUGACAUGGACAGGUAGCACUAUAAAAUGGAGAGGUCUUCUCUUUCAGGGUUCUCUUCUUCCUCUCUCUCAUUCCUAGACUCCAUUUUUUACAUUCUCUCUACAACUCUUGCUUAAAUAUACUACUCUAAUCCAUAAAUUCUGACUUGAACAUUGGAGGGUCUCCAUCGGGGGCAUUCCCGGUAGACCCCUGACCAUUUUUUCAUAUUUUGCAGGUCUCUUCGUCAAAUAGAACAUUGAGAGACCCAUUUGACGGACCCAUAUGAUGGACCAAGAAGAAAACCAGACCCAUCAGGGAGCCCAGAGGAAAAAAGAUUUAUCAAAUUUGAAUAAUUUUACCUAUUACCCAUAUAAAAACUAUUUAAUUUUAUCUAUUUUUAAGAUUUUCUUUAAAAAAUUCAUAAUCUAUUAAACUCAUUUUUUUAGAUUUUUGUUUUAAAAUCUAAAUAGUUAGAACCACAUUGAAUAAUCUAACAAUUACUCAUAUAAUUCUUUUUAAUAAAUUAAUUUUUAUAAAUUUUAAAUAGUCUAAUACAUAAUUUUUAUCUUAUAAAUAGAGGUAAACAAAAUAAUCAUGACUUCUUAACCAUAAAAAGUAAUUGUAUUAAAAAAUAUAUUAAACAAUGAAUUAAUAAAUAAUUACCCUCUAAAUAUUUUUUUAAAAAAAUGUGGUUGAAGUUUAAGUCUUGAAAAUUAGAAACAAUUUUUUUGGAUUAAAAGUAAUAAAAAAUUAGGAUAGUUACUGUAAAAAUAAUAUUUGGAAUUGUAAUUUUAUUUAUGAGAAAAUUAUUAUUUAGGUUUGAAGUUUUAAAAAAAUUAUUAGUUUGUCUCUAUAUCAAAAUUAUUUAAGUAAAUCAUCUCUAUAUUUUAUAAAAUUAAAUUGUUUAGUAAGUAAUUGAAAAUACAUGUUAAGAAAAUUUAUUUUAAUCUUGAUUAAAGACUAAAUUGUAUGAAUAUUUAAAUUUAUAAAUAUUAAAUAAUAUAUAUAAUUAAAAUUAUAUAAAUAAAUUAAUGGAUUUUUUAUAAAAAUAAAAUAAAAAAUUUAAUUCUACAAAAUAUAAAAAAAUUUUAAUUAUAUAAUUUUCAAAUAAAAAUAAAUUAAUGAAUUUUGAAAUUUAAUAAUAAUUUAUUCUUAUUUAUUUAGAAUUUGAAAAAAUUUAGAGACUUUUGCUCUAUAUCUAUUAGCGGUAUUAGAUUCAAAUUGAAAAAACCGACCGAAUCGAAUUAAUUUGAAAAUUCAAUUUAAUUUUUUAUUCCUUUCAGUUCGGUUCGGUUUGAUUUUUAAUUUCAAAAUUUUCGAAUAUUUCGGUUCGGUUCGAUUUUAAUCAGAAAAAAUUAAAAAAUCAAACCGAAUCAAUUAGUGAUAAUAGUAUAUUAUUUUUAAUAAUUUAGAGAGAUUAAAUUAUAUUAAAAUUAAAAUAUUUUAAUUAAAUUUAAAAAUACUAAAAAUAAAGAUAAAAAAUAAUAAAAUUAUUAAAAAUUCAAAUCAAAUCGAAUCGAAUCGAAUCAAACUAAUUUAGUUCAAUUCAAUUUCUAAUCAAAAUCAAUUCGAUUUAAUUUUUAUAAAUACUAAAAUUUUAAUUUUUAGUUUAUUUAAUUCGGUUCGAUUUUCAAUCCGCCGUUGCCAACUACCAACUACCAAGUGGUUAUACUUCAAUAAAUAAUGACUAAGAAAAGAAAAUUUUCUUACAUGUUGGUUCCCCUCAGUAUGCUGCUGAUAUGGUUAAUAUUACCCGUAUCAGGCAAAAAAUUCGCCAGUGAAAAAUCUGCAAUCUAAAACAAUGAUUUAUACAAUUAAGUAGAUUUUUUGGCAUAUAAUUUAACAUUAAAAAAUCCAACAUAAUAAAAUUAACUUACGUAAAGAUAUCAAAUUAUUAAAGUCGCACAAUUGUUUUUCAAUAUCUCCUCGCAUUUACCUUAUUGUAUAAAUGCUGAAGUUAUAUUUAUUACGAGAGUACCAUACCUUUGGUUCAAAAUUAUCAUUAAGAAGAAUAUUAUCUGCUUUAAUAUCUCGAUGUAUAAUUUUAGGUUUACCUGAAAAAAUAAUUCAAAUUGAAACAUUAAAUAAAUUGUCAACACAUAAAAAAAAAAAUUAUUUUAAUUAGUCUCAAUAGCUAAUUAUAGUUUCAAAGUAGUGAAAUUACUCACAUUCUUCAUGCAGAUAAAGCAAUCCUCUGGCAGAGUUUAUUGCGAUUUUUAUUCUUUUCGGCCAUUCCAAAAACUUGUCUUCAUCUGUUAAAAAUAUAUAAAUAUAUGUAAAAACUCAUUUUAUGUUUAUAUAUAGCUAUGUGUGUGUGAAUAUGUUAACUAAGAGUGUACAAGGUUGGUUUACUUCAAAAUUGAACCAAGUCAAAAAAUAAUAAAUCAUUUUAUUCAAUCCCAUUCAAUUCUUGAUUUUGUUUCUAUUUUAUCCAAGAAGCAUUAAUUAUCUGGAAUUUCUUUUGGGAAGUGAAAAAUAUAUAUAUAUAAACUCAUGACAAUUGCAUCAAUAAAAUUAAGAAUCAAAGUUCAAUUUCAUCCAGAAUUUACAAUCGAAAGUUAAUAAUAAUAAUAAUCAUCAUCCGUACUACUAAGGCAUACAAUCGAAAAGAUUUAACUGAUGGAUGAGAAGAGAUUAGCAGUAUUUGGCCUCUGAUUUCAGGGGCAGCAAGUUUGGAAUAAAAAUUUUCAUAAUAAUUCAAUUUUUUUCAAUCAAUUCUUUUAAUUAGAAUGGAAGAAUUCAUUCUUUUUGGACUCGGGUAAUUUUAAUUUUCAAAAGAAAUGAAAUUAUGUAUAUUUUAGUAACAAUUCUUUUGAAUUAUUUUCUGAAAAAAUGAAUCGGGUAAAAAUUGAAUCCGUCGGUUCAAUUUCUUCAUUACAAUUGAAAUAAACUCAGCCCAAUAUCAGUGCAUGAAAAGGCACUCACCAUGUAGAUGAUGUCUCAAAGACUUGUUGGGAACAAACUCUAAAACAAGCAAUCUAUCAUCUCCUUCACUGCAGUAUCCAAUCAUCUUAACGAUAUUUGGAUGGCGCACAACGCUAAGGUACUCGAUCUCCUCCAAUUUAUUCUCCAGCUUUAUUAUUUUAAGUUUCUUUAUAGCAACAUCAUCAUCAUCUAAGAAUGCCUUAUAGACUAUCCCAAAACCACCCUCGCCAAUGCUGCAUUUAUUGGAGAAAUAAUUUGUUGCGAUUGCUAGUUUUUUGUAUUCGUAUCUCUUAAAUCCAUAUGAUUGAGCAAUCUCCGAGGCUGCUGGUGCAUAUCUUGGAGCAUUCUCAGAAGUUGCUGGUGCAUCACGACUUCCAUUCUUAUCAGAAUAUGGUCUAUAUUCAGCCGGAUCUGUAACCAAUGACUGCUGAGGCAACGGUGCUGUAUUAUCUAACCAAGUUGUAACAUGCCAGAAUUAGUUAGAGGAGAAAGCAAAAAUCACAGUGAAGAUACUAUCCCCAAGUACAGCUUCUAGUAAGAAAUGAAAUGAAUCCUUCAUGGAACCCAACAAAAAAGAGCAUCAGUUUAGUUAUGGAAGAAAUAACAUAAUUCAAGAGCCUCUACGGCUCUCAUAUUACUUUGGAUUCAUUGUACAGUGUCAGCUAAAACAGUAUACCUUUAAUGUCAUUGAGGCGAUCUGCCUGCGCAUUGCUCUUGCUCAAGAAACAGCCCAUCAAAACCUGCGGAGUAGCUGCAGUUUUUCUUUUCUGACCACUUCAACAAAUGUCUCCAGCAAUUGGGUGAAGGGGGGACAUCUCUG
Molecule: long non-coding RNA, 47845 nt
Filed under: Manihot esculenta (cassava)
Lineage: Eukaryota; Viridiplantae; Streptophyta; Magnoliopsida; Malpighiales; Euphorbiaceae
Description: long non-coding RNA (MESC_LNC005437)
Source: RNAcentral